CUUUUUUUUUUUUUUUUUUGGUCAUAUAUUUUUAAAGCCUCUUCAUUAUCAGUUUGGACUUGAUUGACCUCUAGGUUGGACACAUGACGAUGAAUACUUACUUUGUUUGCUCUAAUUAAGGAUAAUCCCAACCAUGGAAGAAAAUGCCGAUAAUAUCGGCGAAAUAUCGCCGAUAUUAUCGGUUUUUCGGGAUGGCGAUAUUAAAAGUGGUAUCCGAAUGCUUUUCGGCCAAAUAUCGCGAUAUUAUCGAUAAUAUCGAUAAUAUCGCGAUAUUUUGGAAAUAUCGGCGAAAUAUCCAUGGACGGUGGAAUCGGAAUCCGAGGCGACGUCGGAGAAGAACGCCGGAGACGGUGGGGCGAUUCCCGGGCCGGUUUCGUCCCAAAAACCUUGCAAAAACACGAAUCUUAACAUCAAUUUCACAUAUAUACAUCAGAUUUCACGCAUGCAUAAACGAUUCAAGGCAGGGUGAAGUCGGUUUAGGGUUUAGGGUUUCAUGGAAUCUCACCUGACGAAGACGAAGACGAACGAUCCUUGCUCAGCGGCGCACCUCUGACUUCGCCUGAGCCACGAUCAACGGCGAAGGGAGAAGAGAGAUCGAGAGAUCUGUGUGUGUGUGUGUGUGUGUGUGUGUGUUUGGGAGAAGAGAGAUCGGAGAUCUCUCUUUGUAUGUGGGUGUUUGGGAGAAGAGAGAUCGGAGAAGGGAGAAGAGAGAUCGGAGAAUGGAGAAGAGAGAUCGAGAGAUCUCUGUGUGCGUGUGUGUGUUUGGCAGAAGAGAGAUCGGAGAUCUCUGUGAGUCCGAUCUCUGUGUGUGCGUGUGUUGGACUUGGAUCCGAUGUCAACCUGUGGAGCUCUCUGUGUGAGUGUGUGUGUGGGAGAAGAGAAGGGAGAAGAGAGAUCGAGAAGGAUGAUCGAGAGAGAGAGAGACUGAGGAGCUCUCUGUGUGAGUGUGUGUGUGGAAGAAGAGAAGGGAGAAGAGAGAACGAGAAGGAUCGAGAGAGAGAGAGACUGAGGUUGUCUGCGUGCGUGCGUUGUGUGUGCGUGCGAUGUGUCUUUUGAGUGUGUGGGUUCCUCCUGUCAGGAGGAUACAACUCACUCAAUAAUCCCUGACAAGUUGGGAUGGAAUCGAGCGACUCAUGGAAUCAAUCCCAGCCUCAAUCUUCAAAUGAUUUUUCUUAUGGACAACCUCAACCAAUCUCGGAUCCAUAUGGGUGGCAUAUUAACAAUUACAUGCAAAACUAUUUUGGGGAUUUAUCAUUUGAUAACUACUCUUCACAAUACACUCAUUCUACACAUAGAGAUGAUGACGAUAGUGACAAAUUAGAACCUCAUAGGAACUCUAUGUGGUACUAAAGUGUAAAAUAUUGUACUAAUUCAUUAUAUAUAAAUGAUUAUGGUGUGUUUAGACUUCUUUCAUUAAUUACUACAUAUUUUCUACACUCAUAAUGUUUGUCAGAUCGCUAUAUAAUCAACUUGAUAAUGUUAAAUCCAUCAUGCAAUGCAUUUCCUUCCAAUUUUUUGUGAUAAACUAAUAGAUAAUUGACUAAAUAAACAUCCUACAAAGUUUCAAUAAAAAUUUCCAAGUUUUUUUUACAAUUUCCAUGGUUUCCAUGUAAUUUUUAUCGAUAUCGAUAUUUUACCGAUAUUUCCAUCGAUAUUUCCGUGUUUUCGGACUACCGAUAUUUCCGAUAUCACCGAUAUUUUCUUCCUUGAUCCCAACAACAUAAUUGUUACCAUAUUGUUAUAAUGUUUCAUGGAAAAACAAUGAUAAAGGAAUGACAACUAAGUGCUAGCUAUAUGCACCUAAGAACUUAUGAUUCCAUAUACAAGAUACAAUGAAUCAAAGGCUCACAAACAAACAUGUAAAUCUUAGGUUUGAUUGACUUCGCUCCAAACUCCACAUGUUUGUUAAUUUUACCAUCUUUUCAAUGCGCCGCAUAUAUACCUUCACAAAUUUCUCAUAUAUAUUAGGGGUUAGGGUUCAUUAACCUUCGUAGGAAAAGGAAAUAAUUAAGCCACUUAAUUAUUUUGUCAAAGAAACAAGAACUAGCCAGUCCGCUUUAGUUCAUAAAACUUUUCAUUAUAUGUAGCGUCCUGAUGAGGACUAGAUUUAUAUAAAAAUCUCUUUAAAAAAAUGUUCUAAAAACAAUCAAUCCCCUCAAACAAAGAGUGAAUGAUCUUUUGUAAUCGAAAUUUUGAUUAAUAGUCGAUCAGCUUUAAUCACAAGAUCGAAGUUUUGAAGGCCAUAACGUUUCCACAUCAAAUGAAUAUAAAUUUCCAGGACAUUACAUUUAAAAGAUCAGUAAGUUUAUGGGAGGUUUAUACUAACAUAAUAAUUUUGCAAUAAAACGUGUGCUAAUUUGAGUGCAAUCGAAACGCAUACACAGACUCAUGUUCUAUUCAAAUCAUCACUGUUAUGUGAUCAUUUGGAAACAAAAUAAAACCCACAGAACACUGAAUACAAUCAAAAUACAAGAAAUAAACAUAACCUUUCAUAACGAUAUUCUAACUACAAAUGAUCUGUGGAUGGAAAUACAAAUAAAAGCACUCAAACAAACUAGCAACUAAUCGAACUUAAACCAAACACUGUGUCUAUGUUCUACACAAAUAAAAUUUAACAACAACGACAAACAAACAACAACAAAUUUAAAGCUUAAGAGAUAAAUCGAGUCCAGAAGCAUCUGUAACGGGUUCCAGAGGCUCAUGGCGGAGAACAUCAUCAGCAAUGAUUGGCCUGUUGAUUCCGAAGUUUGAACCACCAAAGUUGCGAGAAGAACCAAUUUCCUGAUCAAACCUUGAAGCACUGCUGGUUCCUGGAAUCCCUAACGUUCCACUGGGAGUAGUAUUAGCAUGAACGCCAUGAAGGUUGAGCCUAUCAAUGGAGGAUUGAAAGUUAUUAAUGAGGCCUCCUGGCCUUGAUGAUGACCAACCCCCAGCACCAAUACCAUGGCCAAAGCGCCCGAACCCGGACGUCGAGGCAGACCAUGGAUAAGAAGGCUUGUGAAUCAUGGAGUCCAUCCUAACCCCAAGAGAUCUACCAUAAGAUCCAUAGAGAGGGUGUUGAGUGAUACUUAAAUAUGGACUAUAAUAACGAUAGGAAUGUCCGAAUAGAUUGUCCAUUCCUAUUCCUCCUUGGCGCCUUUUGGCCAAGGCACGCUCUUGUUUGUGAGCGUUUUGAUGACCUCCCAAUGCUUGGGAAGUAGAGAAAUCUCUCUUGCAAAAGUUGCAUGUGAAAACCCUAGUUCGGGGUUUUCUCCCAUCACUACCACGCGGGCUCUCGCUCCUUGGCUCAUUGUGUUGAGACAAUAACCCUAAUCCCCCUGGGUUCAAUGAUGAACCCUGAUUCAGAGGGUUGAACAGAACGAGUUCGUUCGAAGACCCUGACGCAUGACCAGGGUCGUUGUUGGAAAGCUUCAGAUCAAGCAAGGCACGUGAACUUGGUGUUAGUGAUGAGGAUGAUCCGGCUGCCGGGGGUGGCUUUUUGAGUUUGGGUUGGGGUUGUUCAUCAUCAGAAUCAUCGAUGAUGAUUUUUUCUUUCAUUUUCAUCUUCAUUUUUUGGUCAGGAAGGUCAGGAGGAGGGGGAGGAGGAGGGCUAUCUUUUUUUGGUGGUGGAGUGCCAUCUGAGGCCCCUGAGAUGUUAGAGGCUUCGGAAGGGCUUUGAUGUUCUUCAGCCAUCUCCUGAACUAAUUAGAAAAGAAACUUUGGGUUUGAUGAAAAGAUUUGAAGACAUCAACUCCUUUUUAUUAAGGGUUUGAGUUAAUGCUUAUCGCUCUUGUUUGGAAAGAAAUCCCAUAUCGUAAUUGUAAUAUGCAUUAUAAUAGCAUAGGAUUAAAGUGGUGACUAAGCUUUCGCUGAGAUUUGGCUUUUGCUGAGAUUUGGCUUCAUAGCCAAGACUUUUGCCCUCACAAUAAUUAUAUCAUUCAAACAAAAAUUGCAAGUACAAUGUAAUUCCGGCUAUUUAUGUAGAUAUACAUGUCAACCUUCUAUACUGAUAAGUUUUCAUACGGGUGGCAAUAUCGACUUUUUAAGUAGCUUUAUACUGGAUUUGAACAACCAAAACCCUACUUGGUAAUAAGUUACGACCAUGCAUUGCAAAAUAAUAAUUAAUUAAUAAUAUUAUAUAGAAAAUUGGUAAACGUUCCUGUUUAACAUAAUUGCAUGUACAUCCAUCUAGUUAAGUGUAAAAUUUUAAGUGAAAAAAUGCUAGCAUCGGUUCUCCACGUAUACUACAUUAAUCAAUAAACGGGCUCAGUUGAAAAUUGCUCACGUGGCACACAACUAAUGGUGUCGAAAAAAAAAUUAACCUCCUCUUUAAUGUACGAUUAUGAUAUACAGUUUUUUUUUUUCAUGUUGUAUUAGUUAAGCAUUGUAAUUUUUCUUGAAUCAAUAUUAUACCGUUCAUAAAAAAAACAAUAAUAAAAGUAUUUAGUAGUUUGAUCAUAACAAAUGUAUUAUAUCAUCAAAUGGUCACAAAUAAAUCCCUCUUCCUCUAGUUUUGGGCUUGAAAGAAAUAAACUUGAUCGAUUACAAUGAAACAUUUAAAAUCUCUUAGUUAAAAAAUAUUAAAAGAUAAAUAAUUUAUUAAACAAGGAUAAAAAAAAUUAAAUAAAUAAAUAACAGAGACAAGUUAAAAAAUUGUUCAACAGCAGCAGUAAAAAAUAUAUUGCAUUGAACUAUUAAUUUACCCCUUCAUUAUAAUUACCAUGUUACAUUUCCAAUCAAGAGUUCAAACUUUGAAGGUUGUUUUUCCUUCUACCUAGUUUGGCUUUAGCACAAAUCAUGCAACUUAUUACUGGGAAAAAAAAUUAAACAGAAAAUCCAGCUUUGAUUACAUUAGAUAUGACAAGGUAUUAAUUUUGAAGGUUGUGAGUUGUAUGAAGAUAAGUUCAAGAAUUUAACCAAACACUUGCAGGUAAUUUCCAUAUCCAUAGGUUAAUGCAUGCACAGUGAAAACUAGUUGUCACUAACGUUCGUAUCCCAAAAAGAUAGUAUGUAUAUUUCCUAAAACGUAUCAAUAGUAUUCAUUGUAAACAUGGAAUUAAGAUCUAUGUACAUCAACUUAUUUGCCUUCCAAUUCCGAAGGAUAAACUGUGUCCUUUAUUGGUUUAUGAAAUUUUGAAAUAUCACGACUGUUCGAAUGUUUGUUUUAUAAAUUCUAUAUUUUCUUUAAGAAAGGGUUUAAAUUGUAAUAAAUAUUAGGCUGCUAAGAAAAUGGAAGAAUAUGAAAUAGAAUUUAACUUUUGUGAUCUGUGUGCCAUAAGAGGUGUUCCAUACAACCAUGGAUUCAAAAAGUUGGGUUUAAUUUAGACCAUUUUCGUUAGAACAAGUAAUUAAUCAAGACUGUCCAAUCAAAUGGAUGCCAUGUUUGCCAACCUUCUAUUCUGAGUGUUAUAUGGGUGGCAAUCAGUGCAUCGAAUUUUUAAGUAGCUUGUACUGGAUUUGAACCUGGAAACUGAACUUGGUAAUAAGUAAUUACUGCGUGCAUGGAAACCAAGAAUGUUAUGUACAUUCCUCUUCAAGUCAUUUUGAGCGUGUAAAUCGCACUCCACUCAUAAUAUCAAAAGUUAAAUGUUAUGAAGUCAUAUUUGACGUCAAAUGUGGUGAUGCAAGUUAUUUCAUCUCCAAUGUAUACGGAGUCAAAUUUGACCCUUAAUUUACCAAACACUAUAACACAGCUUCUUUUUGCUAAAAGCACUUUCAUAAUUAUAGUUUACUAAAUAUUUUACUUCUUUAUUUCACAGUUAAUUAUUCUCACAACACAACAUAAGCAUUUUUUCAAGCACGGUAAUAUCAAAGUAGCCCGAACAAUAAAAUUAACGAUUUUGAGAAAAGAAAAAAAAACAAUAAAAUUAACGGAAAUGGACAGCUUGAACGACAUUAAUGUCCGACAGUAAAAUGUAUCAAUCUUCAACUUUAAAACCAAAAGAAUGAUACACGUCAAUUUCACCCUUUGUGAUAAAGUAUUUUUGUUUGGUCUAAUGUUGCUUGUCUCGGUGUGGGCUUCCUUGUACUGUUUUGGCAUCUUUGCCGUGAAGUGUUAUUCUCAGUUUCUGAAAAAAAAUCUAUAUGAAUUGAAAUGUUUGAACUUGUUAGCCCAUACGUAGUUUAGUGAUACCACAUUUCAAGUACACCUCUACUUGUAAGAAGAUUUAAGCUACAUAUAAGUACAUUGAGUCGUCGAUUGGAAAAUAUAAGAUAGUCUCAUUCUUACAUCCAUUUUUACCUCCCACACACUCUUGUUAAUUUUACGUGAUUGAUACUCAAUCCAUCGUAUCCUGCGGCCGAAAAUUGCGAGAUGUGUAAGAAGUCAAAAUGGGUGUGUGUUUAGCACUACCCAAAAUAUAUUUGCAAAAUGCUUAUCACCAUCGCUUACUCCCCAUCGUACAUAUACAUACCAUAUUGCAAUUAGAGAGAGCACAAGGAUUACCAAACCAAUUACUUGGCAUAUUAUAUUGUCACGUUUCCAAAACGUCAAGAACAGAUCGUAGGGGAGACCCCCAAGAGCAUUCACAAAUGUUGAGCUCUCCAAUCCACUGCAAAAUUCUCAUCCGUAUCAAUAUCACUCGAUGACUCACCGUGGCUAGACUCCUUUUUUACAACCUCUGAAAGUCUCCUACGCUUCGCAGCAAUGGCAGCCUUCAGUGCCAUUUUUUUCUUCUUCAACAAUUCCACUUUUUCCCUAUAUGCCCUGAAAAACAAAAGGAGAACGAAGGUAAAAACUAACAGCAAAGAAAAUUGAGUUGCAAAAAACAAAUGAAUGUUUAGAACGACAGCACUUUAUUGCUGCAUUCACCUUUGCUCCACUGAUUCAGCCUCUUCUAUCGUCUCACCAGCAUCAAUCUGCAGCACAAUUAAAACAACCAAAGAAUUAUGAGUAUGCACAAGUCGACAUCCACGUAAUGUAGUAAAAAAAAACUAAGUGAACAAUGCAAGGACAUGAAAACCCUCACCUCCUCUUCUUCCAGACGAUUAUCGACCUCCUUCAAGUCCUCUUGUAUCAACUACUCAAAUUCUCUGUACUCAUCUCUGCAAUACAGUAAAUACAAACUCAAGGUCACAAUGUUUUCAUAAACCUAAGAGACUCGAUAUAUUAUGUACAAAAUGCCAAAACUAUAAAUCUCAAAUAACAAACUUCCCACACAACUCUUAAAUUUAGUUUUGGGAAAUUAUCAUAGUAAAUGGUUGAAACUUGUUAUAAAAAAGCAUGUUAUGCAUCAAGAACAGACAUCAAAUUAUGAUAUCACCAAUGAAGGGAGCCAUACAAGAUUCCCAAGAUAUGAAUACAGAACAUUCCUCCCCCCCCCCCCCAACGCCCUCCUCUCUCUCUCUCUCUCUCUCUCUCUCUCUCUCCAUAUUAUACAUCAAGAACACACAUCCAAAUUAUGAAACAUUAAACCCUUCCAGAGGUCAUUUUAUCAUGAACAAUAUAUUACCAGAAUUUGUGAACUUCCAAGUCUAUCUAGAAUGGCAUUUGAACAGUUGCAAGGACUUCAUACUAGACUAAAGAAAAUGAAAACAAGGAAGAGAACUUUCAAGAAAUAGCACCUUUAAAAUAUAGGACUUAAUGAAAAAUGUUCACUUACUUAACAUCUUGCUUACCAGGCUUUAUUCCUCGUGCAGAUAAAUCAGCUUCCUUGUUGUCAAAGAAGCCUUCAGGAAGAGCUCCCUUUAUUUGCUUGGCCUCUGAACUGGCAAUCUGUGAUGAUGUCUGUGUAAGGUCCCUGGCAGGCUCAAUAUUUCUUGUCUGCACUGUUUCCCUUCCUAAGAUGAUAUUGUUAAGUCAGAAAGAAAGAAUAAUAGAUAUCAUUAAAAGAAAACGAUCGACAGUUCAAAACUAAUCCCAAAAUAAUGCAAAUAUGAAUCCUCAAAGAUUUUCUGUUCUGGUAUUGUGCUUAUGACCCAAAUUACAUUUUAGGCUUCAGUUAACUAUCGUUUUGACAUACACUAUAUUAUCGUAAAAAUAAUAAAAAUAAAUAAAUCUCUGUUCAAACUGAUAUUGUCCUUUGGCAAUCACACAAAGCAAUGAGAAGGUGCUAACAGUCAUAUAGAAAAACAUAUAGGUUUCGUAUUCUCACCUGUAUUUUGCUUUUUUGCAUCAUGGUUAUCAAAAAAAUCAGGAGGCAGCUCAGAUGACGACUGCUUUCUAGGCAAUUCUGUAGAGCGUUCAGGUCCUGGUAUAUGCAACUCCACAGAAUGUUCAGGCUUAGAUUUUGGCAAUUCCGGACCGGCUUCAGCUUUUGUAUUGUUGACUUGGUUUAGUCCAGCAGAUGUAGCUUUGAAAUUACUUAGUGCCUAUUGCAAUAUAACCAUUCUGUUAGUAAUACUCAUUCAGAUACAUAUAUUAAAGAAAAAGAAUAAGGAACCAAUCUAAGAUUAAAUGUAAGUUGAACGGUAAUGUCACCUACUUCCCAGGCCCAUCACAGUUUCAAGCCUAGAAAGUGUAAAGAAGGAAAUGCUUUAUCUUUCGGCCAAAUAUGGAUUAAAUGCAAGUUGACGAAUGGGACAUCCAAUCCAUAUUAGUAUGCGAUGUAGGAACCAAACAACAUCAGUUAUUGCCUGCAAUUAGUAAAUGGGAUAGGCCCUAAGCUUCUGAUGGAAAAGUUAGACAAAAUAAUUAAAAUAAAUAACAAAACCACAUUUGAGAAGCUAAAAUAGUCAGGUUGAAUUCAGCAGUAUUUUAAUGUUUCAAGAUCACAAUACAUGAUUUGAUUGAGAUCAAAUGAGUUAAUUAGUUAUAUUUCAAGAAGCCGGUAAAAUGCUGCAGUAACCCUUUCAUGUUAUUUCAAAAAAUUGCAUCCUUCGUAUCAACUUCAAAUUUUCUACGAUACAAGAUGUUUGUUAAGGUCUCUUAGUUUCUUAAUUUUAUAAAUAGGGAAGUACUAUAUGAACAAUUAUCACCUCACGAUGUUUACGAGAUGCUUGAUGCGCAUCCCAUUGGUAUUCAGAUUUCAGAGUAAUGUCACAAACCCUGCACUCAGGCUAGUCAGAUUCAUUGUACCUGCAUGUAUCACAAAAAAGGACAGAAAGAAGCAGUCAGAAACUCUGGCUUAGCAAGUUAUAUAUGCCAACACGAGAACGGAACCAGUAAUAAGCAAAAGGUUCAAAUAAAAGGUACAGCAACGAUGACAUACAUAACAAAAUGGUGGAAAUAAACAAUGUCAACAUAAAUCUCUUUGGUUCAAGAUGCAUUCUGAGAAAAUAUAAGUUAGACAGUAUUUUCUCAGCUAAAUUCUAUUCCUAACUAAACCAGUUCCCAUGAGUUUCCUUUCAAAUCAUAAGUUUCGUACAAAGAAGAAACGGACUGCCAAACCAAAUUCGUACUUUGUACUUCAUAAACUAAAAGCUUUUGACACGAUCAAAUUCCGAGAACACAAUUUUUAACCACACACAUCAAUUGAGCAUUCAAGAAUAUGGCGAUCAAAUUCCUACUUUCUACAGACUGCAAUUGAAACACAAAAUUUACGAAAAGCGUUCUUUAAUAAUGAUAACUACAUUACACUGAAACUCCAUAACCUCUAGUUUUAAAUUCUUCAGGAAAAAUCUAUACCCCAAUGACAAUAUAUACAUAUACAUAUAUACACACUGAGGAAAAAAAAAAAUUGAAGAGAGAAGGCGUGGGUACUGACCGUACGAGAAGAGAUGCGCUUGUCGUUCUUCUGGGCAUUCAAUUUCGCACGAAACAGCGCCUUGUUCCUGCCUUUAGCAUACAUCUCUUAUAUCUAUGAAUUAUAUCUCCAUCGAAGGAUGAGAGAGGAUUCGGAGGUGGCUGAGAGCUCAGUGACGGAGUUUUACGAAGGCGACGGGGAUAUGAGGGCGCGGGUGACUGAGGACUCGGUGAGGAGGGCGGUGGAGGAAGGCGGAGCGAGAGACAGAGAGAGAACGAUACAGGAGGAAGGGUUAGGACGUGCGGCGCGGAGAUAGUAAUCAGGUGUGUGAAGGACUGUUGUUUUUUCCUGCCAAACAGCCACUGUCAUUUUCCAAAAAAACAUAAAAAUAAAAAAAUCAGCCACUGCCUUCCCGCCACGUGACAAAAUCGAAUAAGCAUCAGGUACGGUUGGGACGUACGGUGUGGAUUUUAGUAAUCAGUUGUGUGAAGGAGUGUUGAAUCCGGAUCCCUACCGUGAUCUCAUCCGUUCAUUAUACAUCGUGCGGUCAAAAAUUAUUUUAAAAUUUAAAAUUAAAUAUAAAUAGUAUCUAACAAAAACUGACCGCACGAUAUAUGAUGAACGGAUUAGAGCACGGGAUCCUUAAGAAAAUGAUCCAGUGAAAAUCAUUUUCUUGUUGAAUGAACAAUGUUUUAGAGUGGCAAGUGGUUAUUUAUCACAGUAAUAAAAAUGAAUGUUACUUUUGCAUCACAAUGUAAGUUCGAACUUCUUUAAUUCUCUAAUUUAACAUUUGAUUUAAUAAAUCUAUCGGUUUGACAAAAAGAAAAACAAUGUUUUAGAUAAUCAACACUUCGUAAUAAUCUAAAAAAAAAUAUACUUUCGAAAGUGAGAUUUUUUAUAGACUCUUUUCCAAUUAUGUUUUUUAGACAAUAUUUGAUAAUGUUGGAGCAAGCCUUAAAGUUAAAUUAUGAAGUGGUAGAGCGUCGAUGGAGAGUCAUAUUUCGAGAGAGUAUUCUUACAAUUUCUCAUAAUCUAAUCAUCAGCAAUUACAUCGAAACUAAAAUGUCCUAUACAAUAGAAUAAUGGGAGAUUUAACGAAAAACCCGCGAUACUAUUCACUUUAACGAAAAAUCAUAUUUUUACACUUAAAAGUAAAACAUAUACUAUUCAUUUGAUCCUUUAUUUUAUCUUUAUUGUUAAAACUCAAAGUUUUCAAAUCUUUUCCUUUGAAUUAAACUAAAAUCAUACGUGGCACAAUCCCAGCAUUGAAGAUCAAACGGUCAAGAUUGUAUAGCCAAGUACAAUCAUGCGUGUACUUUGAAUAAUACCUAUCAUCAGAAAGUGACAUGUGGAGCGGUGCUUCAAUGUCCUAGGUCCAACACCGUGAGUCUAUCCGAUCCUUAAUAUUAUCAUCUCUCUCUGCUUAUGUUUCUAUUUCCUCCAACUCGUACGGUCGGAUAUUCCGUUGGAACCAAAAAAACCAGUUUAAUCUGUUUGUAUUUUUCUUAUUAUUAUAUAUAUUUUUAAUUUUAUUUCAGAAGAAAUAAAAAAACGUUUCGGAUCUGAGGGGGGGUGCGAUGGAUUUUACACGACAAUGAUGAAAGCAGCAAUCAUUCUUCUGCGGCUCUGAAAAUUCGAUUCUCUUUCGGUUUCCCUGUAGUUUUGCCUUUUCGAUUUAAUUAAUGCUUCAAAUCUGACGCCAUGAGGAAGAAGCUCGAUACCCGUUUUCCUGCUGUAAGUACCCUCUUACUCUCGCUCGUUCCGUUCCUUUGUCUAGGGUUUAUGUUUUUUUUCUCAGAUCGAGUUUUAAUUUGUUUGGUUGCUAGGAAAUUAGGGAAAGGAAGAGAAAUUUUGGAUUGUUGUAGGUUUGCUGUGCUAAUCGUGGGUUUAAUUAGGGGGAUUAAUGAAUUAUGUUUCGGUGCUUUGAAUUGUUUGGUUAAAGUUUCAAUUUUUUGGGGGAUUUUUGAGAUAUUUGAUCUGGGUCGGGUUUUUCUAGGCCGUAUUGUUCUUUUCUUUGAUGGGACUAUGGUUUUAGGGAGAAUUGGGUGAUGGGUUUGUUGUUUUGGGGUUAUCUGAUUUGGUCUUGGGAUUUGGUUCAUAUCGAUGAUUUCGCCUAGGGUUUGUAAAUUGGUACUUGAAUCAUUGGGGUUUUGUUUGUGGAGAUAAACUUGCUUAGUUGCUCUUGUGGUGAUGUGGUUUUGCAAAUAGGUCAAGAUUAGUUGAUGACUUGUGAGGCCCCUGAGGGCUAAAUCUGGUCUUGUUUUAUUAAAUAUUCCUUUCAAAUGAGAAGUUGGAUUUGGGUUUGGAUUAUUUUUCAAGAUUGUAAAACAACUAGAGGAUUUUAUUUCGUGGGGUGUUAUAAAACCGAAGCUUACACUUCCUCAACUACUUUGUUAUCCAUAUACUACACAUGGUUCAAGAGUAGCUCUGUAACUGUAAGGCGCUGGCCAAGGCGAUCAAGAGUUGUGAAUCUUAUGUUUGAAACUUUCUUAAAGAAAAAAAAAGGAAGGAAUGGAAGAAACAUUUUUUUUCUUAUGCAGAUUUAGCUAUGCAUUGGUAACUUCAUGAUUGAAAAUUUGAAUGAGUGACAUACAGUUUGGUACUUUAUGAAGUGCUGCUGCAUGUCGUUUCAGUAUUUAAUUGUUCUCUUAUGUGGAGACCAAGAUGGGAUUAACCUCUCCAUAUAAUAUUAAUCGUGUAUCUGCAUGUGUAAAUUGUGUGUGAAGACUGAAAUAUGAAAGAACAGAUUCCUCUUUUAUACUUUUUGUAUAGCACCUUUGUUUACACUUCAGAGAAAGAGAUUGUGUCAAGAAUCAUGGUUUAUGCUGUUGUUUGCCAUCGUUGUUUACCUUUCCGUGACUUUUCUUUAGCUUAAUACCGGCAAAAGGGGGGAAGAGAGAGAGAGAGAGAGAGAGAGAGAGAUUAACAUUUUGUUGGUUAUUAGUCCUUCAUGUAGCAAAUAUCAUUUAAAUUACCCCGAGUUUCUUUGAUGUUUCGUGUGCCAAGUGUGGGAUUAUGUUAUAUAGGAUUUCUUUGAUAGCACUUGCCAUUUACCCUUAGAGUGUCCACGUAGGGGAUGCAAUAAAUUUUGGAGAACCCCAUAUCUUUGAGUGAAGUAUGUUGAUGAACCUUUUUUUUUUCUUUAGAAGUAGUAAUUAAGUAACUCCGCCUAUGUAAGUUUAUCUUACAUGGCCGGUCCCAAGCCCGGGUAAAGGAGGAGGGGGAGGGCGUCAGGUAGUCGACAGCCGGCACUCCACAGUUACGUCGAAUCCUUAUAAGAAGUAGUAAUUAAGUUAUUUGCCUUGUGCUUCCUAUUUGAAGAAUGAUGAAUGAUGUUUAGUUUAUUAACACUAGUUUAGCUCUGAAGUUAUACAUCUAUCUGACCCCCAUUCUGAAACACAAUUUUAAUCUGGCAGGCCCGGAUUAAAAAGAUUAUGCAAGCUGAUGAAGAUGUUGGGAAGAUAGCAUUAGCAGUGCCUGUUUUAGUGUGUGAGUACUUCUAACUUCUGGAAUAGUAAAAUAGCAUCCCACCAGGUUAUUUGUUUUGCUUUUUGGGUUGCUUAUGCUACUCAUCUUGCAUAUUAUGCAGCUAAAGCGUUGGAGCUAUUCUUGCAAGACCUUUGUGACCGUACCUAUGAGAUAACCCUCCAAAGAGGAGCCAAAACCAUGAAUGCAGUGCAUCUGUAAGUCAAAGAUUGAACGAUGUUUAUCCGUUUACUUAUUUAGUUUUAAGGGACUAAUACAAAAUAAAUUUAUAGUAAAGUACUACAACAGUAGUGAAAUGAUUACUCCAAUUGUACAGUAAAAACCUGAACCAGAAACUGCAGUUUCAAUUUGCACAAUUAGAGAGAAAUGCUCUAUUUUUAAAGUCUUUAGAACCUUAUUCCCACAAUGAAUUUUAGAAGUGCACUCUCUAUUCCACAAUUAACAACCUCCUUCUCAGCUUCAAAAAUCCUAAAGAUAGGUUAAAAAAAUUCUCAAUGAGCAGACAAAAACGAAAGAGCGAGAAUCACCCAAUUUAACCUUUUGCAGUGCAGCAGAAUGAUAGAGGAAUAUUAGAACAAGGUUAUGUGCAAAAUUUAGGUUUCCUGCUUUGAAUAUCAGAACAAGUAUUAAUUUUUAGACAUAUCAAAGUAAUAAUGUGUACUUUGCAAGGUAGUCUAUCUUUCCAAAUCAUUUUGGAUGGUCAUCAGUCAACCCAUUAGAACAGAGUUUACAUGGGAAUAUUCUGUAAUUCUAGAAGAGUCAAUUUACCCAUCUUUUAUGGUAUUUUCAAUGAAAUAUAGAAAAGAAGAGAGCAUCAAUCUCAACAUCACUUAAAUUUCUUCAGAUCCAGCCAAAUAAUUAGCAAUUGUAUAUUUUGGACGGAUGACAACCUCAGAAGACAUGGAUAUAAAUGAAAUUAUGAGAGAAUGAAUUGGAUUCCUUUAGCAUCGAACCUUUAAAUUAGAAUUCUCCUACCCAUUAGCAUCGACACAGUACGUUGGAUAGUAACAUGCUAUAAUUCUACGAUGAUCAAGUAAGCCGUAGUUCCUAGAUACAAUUUUUUAUUUUUUCAGGAUAAGUACAACAUUAUUAGAGAAAUCCACAUCAACAGUAACAUGGAGUUGGUAUACUGAACUUUAUUGCAGAGCUCAUGCCGAAGAAUGAUCUAAUUGCCUAAGGAGAGAUAUGGUUAUAUUUUCUAGUACCUGAUUAAAUAUGUUUAAGCUUAUGCCGUUCAAAUUUUCUGGCACUUGAAGAAUCUUUCUGAAGAAAGAAAGAUUCUUUCUUUCUUAUAGCCGACCCCACUUAGUGGGAAAAGGCUUUGUUGUUGUUGUUGUUGUUGUUGUUGAAGAAUCUUUCUGAAACUAAAUUAAGAUUAUCUAGUUGUAAUAUUCACUCAAAUUUGUUUUACUGCAUUAUCUUUUAAAGAAAAUUUUGCACCAGAGUUGAAUAUAAAGUGCCCUGUGUCUCCCAGUUACAUGAGCCAAAUCUUAUUUCUCUAUCCUGUUUGCAGAAAGCACUGUGUACAGAGCUAUAAUGUGUUUGAUUUUCUGAGGGACAUCGUCAGCAGAGUUCCUGACUAUACUCAUGGUCAUUCUGAUGCUGCUGCCGAUGACCGAGCCCUUUCAAAAAGAAGGUAUAUUAGAUGAUCUAUUCUUGUUAUUUCGCAAUAUCCUUAAUCCAUGAGAUUGUCAUUUGAAUCUACUUACUGAUAUAUUUUUCUGCAGAAAACCACCAGGUGAUGAAGGCAUUGACAGUGAUGAAGAAUUGAAGAGGAGCAAGAUGGUAACUUUAAUGGAACCCUACAAUUAAUCAUUAUCUUUUGUUCUUAACAUAAAACCAAUUUCCUUUUGCAAAAAGAAAAAACAUAAAACCAACUUCCACACACAUUGGGUGAUUACCUUCUCUUUGAAAAUGGCUUGUUUUUCUUCUUUUAGAUUCCACCAUCUAGUCCUUGGGCACUUCCAAGUCUUGUUCUUUUGUCUUACUCUUUUGAUAUGUACAUCCAUCACCAACAAGCGAUGUUGAUUAGCCACGCUCUCUCCUGGUAUAACUUUGCAAUCCUUACAAGUUAUACGAUCCCCUUUCCUCAUUAGAAGAAAAUCUAUUUGUGUUUUUGACAACCCACUCUUGUAGGUGAUCACAUGUUCUUCUCUCUUCUUAAAAAAGGUGUUGGCUAAGAAGAGAUCAUAUGCCAUUGCAAAAUCCAAGAUAGCUUCCCCAUCCUCGUUUCUCUCCCCAAAACCAUGGCCACCAUGAAAACCUCCAUAGUUGCCUGUCUCCCUGCCCACGUGUCCAUUUAAAUCUCCUCCUAUAAAUAACUUCUCCAUCUGAGCAAUUCCUUGCACCAAGUCUCCAAGAUCUUCCCAAAAUUUCUCCUUCGAACUCGUAUCCAACCCUACUUGAGGUGCGUACGCACUAAUCACAUUGAUAAGUUCUUGUCCUAUUACAAUCUUGAUUGCCAUGAUUCUAUCUCCUACCCUCUUGACAUCUACAACAUCUUGUACCAAGGUCUUAUCCACGAUGAUGCCAACACCGUUUCUCGUUCUAUUUGUGCCCGAAUACCAAAGUUUAAACCCUGAGUUUUCUAGAUCCUUUGCCUUACUACCAACCCACUUAGUUUCUUGUAGGCACAUAAUAUUUAUCCUUCUCCUCACCAUAACUUCCACACUACUUCCAUAGAUUUUCCCGUUAAGGUUCCUAUAUUCCACGUUCCUAAACGCAUUUUGCUCUCUCUUGAACUCUACCCUUCUGUCCUAGCUUAUUCACCCUCCCCCGUCUAAUAGGAUCAAAGUACUUCUUUUGUGUGUCCCGGGUAAAGUUGAUAGGAGCAUAUGCUCCCAAACAACUUUGAGUGGAGUCGUUCGAAAAGAAGUUUCUAUGGCCCCCUUGCUCAUUUAACACUGCAUCCGGGUGCCGAUGGAGAUACAGCGACCCUUGCUCACUUAUCACUGUGCUCGGGCCACACAGCGCGCCACUUACGGGUGACGCCCUAGCUUUAGCGCGAUUUUGUUCUGGAUUCAUUUUCAUAAGGAUUCGACGUGAUCAUGGAGUGCCGGCUGUCGACUACCUGACGCCCUCCCCCUCCUCCUUUAUCCGGGCUUGGGACCGGCCAUGUAAGACAUAGGCGGAGUUAGAUUAAAGAGUUCCUUGGUGUAUGCUUUUCGCAGACGAUAUAGUGUUGAUAGAUGAAACUCAGGAAGGGGUAAAUGCAAAGCUUAAUCUUUGGAGAGAAGUGUUGGAAUUUAAAGGUCUUCGCCUAAGCCGAUCAAAGACAGAAUAUAUGGAGUGCAAGUUCAGUGCAAAUGGAGGCCAAAACGAGUUAGGGGUGAGGAUCGGAGAUCAAGAAAUACCAAAGAGCGACCGUUUUCGUUACCUAGGAUCUAUCUUGCAAAAGAACGGAGAAUUAGAUGGAGAUCUCAACCAUAGAAUACAAGCUGGAUAGAUGAAGUGGAAGAGUGCAUCCGGCGUGUUGUGUGACCGUCGUAUGCCACUGAAGCUCAAGGGAAAAUUUUAUAGGACGGCAAUAAGGCCGGCGAUGCUGUAUGGCACAGAAUGUUGGGCGGUGAAACAUCAACACGUACACAAAAUGGGUGUAGCGGAGAUGAGGAUGCUUCGUUGGAUGUGUGGGCACACGAGAGAAAGGAUAAGAUUAGGAAUGAGGAUAUCCGGGGUAAAGUAGGAGUAGCCGAAAUUGAAGGAAAGAUGAGAGAAAAUCGGUUACGGUGGUUUGGACAUGUGCAAAGAAGGCCUACUGACGCUCCGAUUAGAAGAUGCGACUAUGGGACAGAGGUUCAGGGCCGAAGGGGGUAGAGGAAGACCUAGGAAAACUUUGGAAGAGACUCUAAGAAAAGACUUAGAGUACUUGGAUCUAACGAAGGACAUGACACAGGAUCGAGCACAAUGGCGUUCUAAGAUUCAUGUAGCCGAUCCCACUCAGUGACUUGGAUUUUCCAAGUCUCCAACCGAGAAGUUUUCCUCACUCGGGAAAUUAAGGGAACACUACCCCAACCUACAUGCUCCACUCAGAAAGUUUCAAACAUACAAGCUUCAACAAAAGAAAAUUCAAAGAACUUAGCGAAGAAGGCUUUGGUGUAUUUAACACAAUACGUUGAAAUGAAGGAAAGCUUAUUUAUUGAUAUCCCCGAUAAGCUACAAAUAUGUACAUAUACAUGAGUCAAAAUAAACACACAAGAGGGAGCCUUCACAAAGGUUGCUUAGGAGAAGUCUCAGCAGUCGGUAGAGCCCCAGAAAGAGAAGGCACCGGAGGGGGAUCAUUUGGAGCCUCAGUACUGGACAGAACCCUAGAAGGAGGAGGCAUCAGAGGUUGAUCAUUUGGAGCUUCAUUACGCGGUACAGUCCCAGAAGACGAAGGCAAUAAAUGCCUUUGGAACAAACCCACAAAUCUCUGAUGAUCAAGUAAAACCUGACCAUCAGUUUCCUUCAUCUGGUCAAGCUUCCUCUUCAUGUUUGUAGCAUAGUCAUGUGCGAGCCGGUGCAACUGUUUAUUCUCAUGCUUGAGCCCUCUAAUCUCCUGUUUGAGACUCAUCACUUCAGCCGCCAAUGAUUCAACUUGGCGGGUUCGAGCAAAUAGGCGUUGGGCCAUAUUAGAUACAGAACCUGCACACUGAACACUGAGAGCCAGCGAAUCCUUAACAGCUAACUCAUCAGACCGUUUGGAAAGUAGUCUGUUAUCUUUGGGAGUGAGAAGGUUCCUGGCCACCACCGCAGCGGUCAUCAUAUCAUUCUUCAUCACGGAAUCCCCAACGGUAAGAGGACCAGUAGGGGAGACGAAGGAUGGGCGCCAUAUGUUGUCUGGAGAAGGCGGGGCUGCCUCUUCAACAAGGUUCAAGUCAAAACGACGGUCGGAGGGGCCAGACAUUUUCAAAGGUGUUGAAGAGAGAAGAGGUCGGACAAAUCAAGAUCCUAGAAGUGCAAGAAUGAAGCUUCUACUGGUGGAGAUUCAAGUGUGCUUUGGAACUUAAUGCCAGCCCCUAUAAAAAUCUGCACUCGACGGAGCUUCAGAAAUCGAAGAGGCGCCUGCUCAGAAAUCGAAGAGGCGUUUGCUUUCUCAAAAGCUGGGCUGCUUAGAGAUAACGAGGGUUGAUCUCAGAAAUCGAAAAGGCGUUUGCUUUCUCAAAAGUUGGGCUGCUCAAAGACCACGAAGGUCGAUCUCAGAAAUCGAAGAGGCGCUCGCUUUCUCAAAAGCUAGGCUCCCCAGAGACCACGAGGGCCGAUCUCAGAAAUCGAAGAGGCACCUACUUUUCCAGCCUUGUCAGCACCUGUCACACGCACACUCAGCUUUGUGGAAAUUAUGGGCAUUCUGUCAAAGACUUCUGGGGAGGUAGAAAACACAUGAAUCUUACUGUUCAAUCACCCACUUCCCACACGCAACAAUAGCUCAUGGGUACCAUAGAUAACUUUGCCAAAGUUCUCUGCCAAAGUUGAGCACGUGAAGCUUGCAGCUCCCACUACAUCGCUCUGACCAAGAAGGGUAAAAGAAUAGCAAAGAAACAGCACUAACAAAGUUUAGACCCAUAAAUUUUGAAGGUCUAGCUACCAUAUUAUUACCCACAAGGGUAAAGGAACAGUACCACUGCUGGAUAAUUGGAAAGUCCCUGUGUGUCAACCUCUGUGCUUCGUGGCAAGGUAGACUAGCAAACAUGCCCAACCUUUACUCACAUUCGAGAAAAACACUCCCAAUAAGAUUGCUUGCUCCAAAAUCGAAGAGGCACCGUCCUUCGAAUCUCGAGAGCCAGACUCCCAACAUGACUACUUUCUUAAAAAUCGAAGAGAGGGUAAAGGAACAGUACCAUUGCUGGAUAAUUGGAAAGUCCCUGUGUGUCAACCUCUGUGCUUCGUGGCAAGGUAGACUAGCAAACAUGCCCAACCUUUACUCACAUUCGAGAAAACACUCCCAACAAGAUUGCUUGCUCCAAAAUCGAAGAGGCAUCGCCCUCCGAAUCUCGAGAGCUAGACUCCCAACAUGAUUACUUUCUCAAAAAUCGAAGAGACACUGCUCCCCGAAUCUCGAGAGCCAGACCCCCAGCAUGAUUGCUUUCUAAAAAAUCGAUGAGGCAUCGUUCUCCGAAUCAAUCGAAGAGGCGCUCGCUUUCUCAAAAGCUGGGCUGCUCAGAGACCACGAGGGCCGAUCUCAGAAACCAAAGAGGUACCUACUUUUCCAGCCUUGUCAGCACCUAUCACACGCACACUCAGCUUUGCAGAAAUUAUGGGCAUUCUGUCGAAGACUUCUGGUGAAGUAGAAAGCACAUGAAUCUUACUGUUCAAUCACCCACUUCCCACACGCAACAAUAGCUCAUGGGUACCACAGAUAACUUUGCCAAAGUUCUCUGCCAAAGUUGAGCACGUGAAGCUUGCAGCUUCCACUACAUCGCUCUGACCAAGAAAGGUAAAAGAAUAGCAAAGAAACAGCACUAACAAAGUUUAGACAUAUAAAUUUUGAAGGUCUAGCUACCAUAUUAUUACCCACAAGGGUAAAGGAACAGUACCACUGCUGGAUAAUUGGAAAGUCCCUGUGUGUCAACCUCUGUGCUUCGUGGCAAGGUAGACUAGCAAACAUGCCCAACCUUUACUCACAUUCGAGAAAACACUCCCAACAAGAUUGCUUGCUCCAAAAUCGAAGAGGCACCGUCCUCCGAAUCUCGAGAGCCAGACUCCCAACAUGACUACUUUCUCAAAAUCGAAGAGAGGGUAAAGGAACAGUACCAUUGCUGGAUAAUUGGAAAGUCCCUGUGUGUCAACCUUUGUGCUUCGUGGCAAGGUAGACUAGUAAACAUGCCCAACCUUUACUCACAUUCGAGACAACACUCCCAACAAGAUUGCUUGCUCCAAAAUCGAAGAGGCACCACCCUCCGAAUCUCGAGAGCCAGACUCCCAACAUGAUUACUUCCUCAAAAAUCGAAGAGACACUGCUCUCCGAAUCUCGAGAGUCAGACCCCCAUCAUGAUUGCUUUCUCAAAAAUCGAAGAGGCAUCGUUCUCCGAAUCUCGAGAGCCAGAUACGACAGACCACUUUUUCAAAGUGCUCUGACAGAGUUAAAACAGGUGAAACUGGCAGCUCCCACUACCGUGCUAUGACCAAGCAGGGUAAAGGAAUAGCAUUACUACUUGUUGUUAGGGAGACUCCUAUAUAUGUCGACCUCCAUCCCCAACGGACAGGCAGACCUGCAAAAAUGCUCAACCCUUCAUCAUAUCUGAGAGGGCACUCCCAACGAAGUCUUUCGAAAUAUUCAGCUUUCUUUCCCCCCGAUAAUACCUCUGCAAACAAGCUAUACUAGAGCAAGAAUAUCUCAUAUCAUCAGGGUUAAAAGCAAGAGUAUCCCAUAUCAUGCUUUUUCUCUGUCUUUUCUUUUGGCCUUGUUUUUACCUGCAAGACAAGGAGAAAGAGAGCAAUCAGUCAGCACUUGGAAUCAAGCUUCCAGCCAGGAACUGACUGCCUGGAACCCCUUACCUGAUUACUUACCUGGCAUUGCUCUCGAGUACUCAUCCUCAACAUCUUAUGUUUCUAGGGAAGAUUCCGCAUCUGCUUGAGGAACAGAUAGGGCAAGUGCGAAGGAUACAAGGAAGCAUGUGGAGACAAGCGUAACAGCACACGUGCCGAUACAUCCAUUACUCUGUCAAAAGCAAAAGUAUCCCAUAUCAGCAGGGUGGAACGUACUCUAGAUUUGAUGGACUUGUUUUGACCCUCAAAUUCUUCAGUCGGCCUUAUACUCUGGAGGAAACCAGAAAACCCUCCAGCUCAGUUCAAGAAUAAGCCUGUUGAAAGUUACUUCUUCAAAAGCAAAAGUAUCUCAUAUCAUCUCUUCUCAUUUUUCUUCUCUUUAUCCUUCAUGCAUGCUGCUGCAAGAUGGGGAGAAGGUGAACAAUCAGUCGGAGCUCUGAUUGCUUACCUUGUCUGUCACCUCUUUCAGCAGACCCCCUAGCUCGGCGACUUGGGGGACUCCUACUACAUGGUUUGUAUCGCGCUUGACCAAGCCUGAAACUACAAGUAAGGUUCAAGUGAAAUUGAUACAUUACCUUGUGCAUCUCCACCAGUUAAAGAUACCACCCCUGGAUGGAGGAAGAGUACUUCCAGAGAAGAUGCCAUAUCUACCUAUGAGACAGAUAAGGCAAGUUAAGACGACACCACACUUCGAUACUUAGAAGUUUCGUGAUUACGAGAUCAUUCUCCCACAAUAUUUCCUAAUGUCAUUUGUACUAAAUCAUUCACUUGUACUCACUAAAGGAGAGCUUGAACCUAUGUACUUCUGUAAACCCUUCACAAUUAAUGAGAACUCUUCUAUUCCGUGGACGUAGCCAAUCUGGGUGAACCACGUACAUCUUGUGUUUGCUUUCCUAUUUCUAUCCAUUUAUAUACUUAUCCACACUAAUGACCGGAGACAUCUAGCGAAGAUCACAAAAAAACGACCGUUUUCGCUACCUAGGAUCUAUCUUGCAAGAGAACGGAGAAUUAGAUGGAGAUUUCAACCAUAGAAUACGAGCUGGAUGGAAAGAGUGCAUCCGGCGUGUUGUGUGACCGUCGUAGGCCACUGAAGCUCAAGGGAAAAUUUUAUAGGACGGCAAUAAGGCCAGCGAUGUUGUAUGGCAUAAAAUGUUGGGUGGUGAAGCAUCAACACGUACACAAAAUGGGUGUAGCGGAGAUGAGGAUGCUUCGUGGGAUGUGUGGGCACACGAGAAAGGAUAAGAUUGGGAAUGAGGAUAUCCGAGGUAAAGUAGGAGUAGCCGAAAUUGUAGGUAAGAUGAGAGAAAAUCGGCUCCGGUGAUUUGGACAUGUGCAAAGAAGGCCGACUGACGCUCCGGUUCGAAGAUGUGACUACGGGACAGAGGUUCAGGGCCGAAGGGGUAGAGGAAGACCUAGGAAAACUUUGGAAGAGACUCUAAGAAAAGACUUAGAGUACUUGGAUCUAACGGAGGACAUGACACAAAACCGAGCGCAAUGGCGUUCUAGGAUUCAUAUAGCCGACCCCACUUAGUGGGAAAAGGCUUUGUUGUUGUUGUUGUUGUUGUUGAACUCUUUAAUCUAAGUGAUGUCUCUUUUGGUUUCUUUAGGAUGUCCAGGUUGAAGACAUAAAUAUUUUGUGAAUUUAUAUAUACAAGUUUGAAUAGAGGAUCCGAGUUGGUUUUGUUUGUGCUUGGGCUGAAUUAGCUGUUAACUAAAUGCAAUAUGCAGAGUUUCACUGUUGUCAAAAACUUUAUUUUACUUUUUCUCUGCAGCUUGAGAUAAAAAAUAGCAGCAGCAGCGGCAGAGGAAGAGGCCGAGGACGGGGUCGAGGCCGUGGACGUGGUCGGACCACUGAAAGAGACACUUCGCACCAUGAGACUGAAUCUGAUCCGUGCACAUCUCUUCGGCAGAUCACUGAACCUAAUCCAAACCCUGGAAUGGUGGUGGAUGAUGUUUCCGAGUCAAAGGAUAUAUUGAAAGAAAAUGCCAUUGCACCUGAUGAAUCCGAUCCAGCAGUUAGAAACUUUGAUCUGAAUGCCGAAGUUAAUGAUGCUGAGGACAUAAAAGCUGCCGCAACAGCAGCCCAAGCCGCCGCAACAGCAGCCCAAGCUUCCGCAACAGUAGCCCAAGCUGCGGCAACUGCAUCCCAAGCUGCCCCAACAGCAUCCCAAGCUGCCCCAACGGCAUCCCAAGCUGCCCCAACGGCAGCUCAAGCCUCAUCAGCUGGACCUAUCUCCGAGCCUAAACAUGAAGAAUAUCCUGGGUGGUCUCUCUCUGAUGUGGAUGGAAUGGCCAUUGAUCCUGUUCAACUUGCAAAUCUCAGCAGAAGGCUAGACGAGGAUGAGGAAGAUUAUGACGAAGAGGGCUAAAUUCCACUCGAUGGCUUAUUGUCCCAAAGAAGGGUAGCGGGAUCAAGAUCAGUGGAAAGCUCUUGAAGGAAAACUAAAUAAAAGUAUACAAAAGCUGGAAUAGCGACCUAAAUGGAGAUGAAAUGGCCCGUGCACUUUGUCCCAACGAAGAGUCCGAAUUUCUCUUCCUGUCCAAUGUUAGCAUCGUAGCAUUUCCUAACAUCCAUUUCCAGAGGUAGCAUUUCCGUGACGAUGGCAGAGAGGAUAGCCUCUGCAAAUUGACUCUUAGCAGUGUAUGAAGAAUAUGGCACCCUUGAAUAGCGGUGGAUUGCCCUAUGAGUGGUUUGCCUUUUUAAUUUACUGUGUUUGUUAUAGAUUUUCAGUACAAGUAGUAGCUUGCUCGUCGUUAUCGCGUGGAAGGUAAUAGUUCUGUUAGCCCUUUCAAUUAAUCUUCUGACCAGUGAAUUGGAUUUUCUUUUCCUUUCCUUCUCUUGCUCUUUUAAGAAGUUCCGCAACGAGAUGCAUACGCGUUGCUAAUAGUUUGCAUAAUUUCAAUGGUGGUGAAGAUUCGGCAGCGAUGUGUUUCUGCCGUGCCGAUAACAUAACGUGUCUGUUUCUUCCAUGGUUCAUCCUAAGGAAACCCUGGUGCCUCAAAUAUUAUUUGUAUAUAUUAUUUGCAAAUCUAAAUGUUUCCUGAAAGGUUUCUGGAUGGAAUGGUUUGGAAGUAUGGAGUUUGGAUUUUGAAAGCUAGCCAUACAAAUAUUAGAUAUAUUUGUGCUGCAUUCGAAACUGGUAUUGAAAUUUCUUGCUUGGAGUCGAAGUUGAAAACAUUUAGGAGACGCUACGCGUACCUGCACCCGCCAAAGGUUAAUGGGUAGGGUUUGUGUGAGUGAAAUGACGAGAACCUCUCGAUCGAUUGAGAGGUUAGAACUAAAUGAUGCAUGCCUAUACGAGAGGUUUUUUAACCAAUUCAGAAAGUCACUUGAUCACUUGAUCCUGUAUAUAUGAGGAAGAUUGUGCAUGAUACUGACGGUAGGUGUUGAGCCAAGUGCUUAAUGAAGAUAGCAUACCACCUAUUCGAAUUUUUAUUUUAACAAGCAAUAGUAUCUACAUUAAGCGGAUGAAGGAGUAGAUUAAGUCUUACAUUGGGUUACUCGUAGUAAUAUGGUUCAACUUCGUCUUUGACGAGAAUUAAAUCUAAAACCUCUCACAAUUUCUAAUAAUAAAAAUAAAAAAAAUAAAAAAAUCCUAAGACUUUUCACUUACAAGUGAAGUAAAAUACCGCUGGACCGUAAUACUAGCACCGCCAAUUGAAAUUAAUGAACAGAAAAAGGAUGGAAAAGAAAGAAGAAGAAAAUAGGGAUGGGCAAUAGACUUAUAAUACCUUAUAAUAUAGAUACAAAUUGGAAAACCGAGUACAUCACUAGUGACCAGGUUUUGUUAUUGAUUACGACACAAAAGAAACACUGAACAGCAACCAACCAUGUAUAUACACCACAAUUUGCCAUGACACAAAUUCAAGGUAACUUCAUUAUUCUUAAUUCUUACGUACUUCGACUUUAAACUUCUCUUCCUUGCCUCCCUUGUUGCACCUUUAGAAGCAUGUUGAACUUUGCUUUCUCGUCUGUCCCCUGCUUUCACAAUGUGAACACGUUAAAAUAAGCAAAAGUUCGAAUCAACCGAUCUUGCAAAUGUUUAACCAUAUAUAUCACAGCAUUUGAGCGAAUCUAACAUGUUGAAUGUACAAAACUCAAUUAUCUGAAAGAAAAAAAGAAGCUGUAAUAAACAAAACAAACUUCAUUGAAUUACCAGGAAGCUCGUGAGCAUGACAAAGAUUUAAAUGCAAAUUUGGGAACAAAAAUACAAAUUUUAAUCAUCUGAACCAUUCAAACACUAGGGUUCCAUUUGGUUGUAACGUUUUGAAAUGAGACUUCGAUCGUCUAUAAGGCUACAAAUAUGGCAUCUCAACCCCUAAGUUUUUAACAGUUUCGUUACUUUACUGACCUUUCUUUUCAACAAGAAGAUAAACAGUCUCCUUCUUGACCUUCCCAACUAUGAAAUAAGAAGAAUACAUGAAAUGCCCACUACCAUGAGGAAACUAAAAUUAAUUUGGAAAUGUAAUAGCUAGGAACUACUCAAGAGUCAAGAAAAAGGAGUAUAUUCGAGGUUGCACCCAAAGAAGAAAAGGAUCCCAAGGAACUAAAAGCUCCUCCUAGACACUUACAAUAUGAGUUCACAAACGUCACCUGGUUGAGAGCACUAAACAAGAUGAGAUGAUGUGACUGCAUCAACCAGACUGAAUGAUAUUCUUAGAAAGCUUGGACUUGACAGUUUUUUAGACAAAUAUCAUUUGCAAAGAUGAAGAGAAAAUGACGGUAAGGCUAAUAAAACAACCAAACAAAAUUCAUGGCCUAAGAUGCAUACUUUUAAUGUCUGGAUUCCCUUUCAGUGGAUAUACACGGUUAAGAUAAGAAAGCAAGGUCCGAGUCUUCAAAUUGUGGGAUUCGAAUUGGAUUUUUUGGCCUACAUUGCUUAUAAUUGAGUCAUAGAAAUGUUAAACUCUUUCUUAAACAGUCAAAUUUACAUGCGUAAGCAAACGAAAUUAAGCUUUGUUCAUGUUAAUUGCUUCCACAGACACUUAGGUCUUUCCGUGAACACCCCGUUAAAUCUCUCAAAUAGAGUUAUCAUUCCAGUAAUGUUCCAAAAUAUCACUCAUAAUAAAGUUGAAUAAAGAACCUGACAUUAUCAGCAUAAAUCCAAAUCUAAUAUAUAUGCUUCUAUCCAUAUCGACCCCAAAAAGUAAAAGACAGAUCAAAACAACCAAAACCUACCCCAAAUCAAAUACACAAUUCUCCAAAACUAAGUAAACAGUACACUUGUAAUUAUUUAGCUUAAAAUAAUGGAAGGGCAGAAACCUUGGAGACGAACAAACUAGGAGUCAGAAACAAGCUUGAACUCCUGCACUUGCUUGAAGUGCUCCCAUGGCUUUACCCACACCUUGGCUUCAUAAACCUUCUUCUUUCCGCCAUCUGUGACCUCGAUUUUCAGAUAAUGCAUAGUGCCCGAAACCACUUGUACCUUAUCAUCCAAUACCCUUACAAACUCAAGCAGAGUAUUCUGCACAAUAUUCAAUUGAUCAAUCAAUUUAUAAAUUAGGACUCUUUUCUAGGAAGCACUUCUGCUCAUAAGCACUUGUAUAAAAAGUUCUUUCAUUAGAAAGUCAUAAACUUCUUUAAAAAUCCAAGCACUUCAUGAAGAAACUGCUUCUAUGACUCGGUAGUUAUCCAAUUAAUCAAUCAAUUUCUUAGUUAUGGAUCUUUUCUAGGAAUCACUUUUGCUCAUAAGCACUUAUGUCAAAAGUUCUUUCAUUACAAAACCAUUGAAAUUUUCAUAAAAAAAUCCAGGAUAGUGCCACACCCAUGUUUGCCUCCCACGUCCCCUUAUUAAUUUUCGAGCAUUAAUCUUCUUCAAUUCAUUCUAUCCAACAGAAAAAAAUUAAGAGGGGGUGUCUGUGAAGUAAAAAAGGGGUGCGGUAGCACUACCCAAAAUCCAAACGACUCCCCCUUCCUGAAAAAGCACUUGGAAGCACUUCAUAAAGAAGCAUCCGGCAAGUGCUUCUCUAGAAAGUGCUUCUACGACAUCGCAAACAGGACCGAUCAAUCAAAAACCAUCCACAAUUUAAAUCAGAAACAAAAAGGGUACGGAAAUGGAAGGUACCUCCUUCUUGUUGUGUUCAUCGACGGCGUAGCGAGCAAGGCUUUCGGUCUCGACGCUGUUGGCGGAACCUUGGUUAUCGCGGAUUGUACCAACGGCGGCCAUGUUUGAUUCUGCGGCGAGCUCUGUAUGUACUUCGGAAUUGGAUUUGAUUUUUGUAUGCAGAAGAAGAAGAGUUUUGUGGCUAUUAAUACACACCCUCUCAAGGACGAAGACUCCGCCGACGCGCUUGACAAGGAAAAUUCGCCCUGUCGAUCCUCUGGUAUCGUGACACGUGGCGAAUCUUUUUGUUAUCCGUUUCUUCCUCUGUAAGGUUUUGUUUUCUUUUUGUUAGUUUAUUGUUUUUUUGUUACGAGAAAGGCUUAAUCUAUAAGUUUUGAAGACGACUUUUUUGUAUGUAGUUUAUGUCUUGUUAAUGUGCAUCACUGUAUUACCGUAUUAGUGACUGUUAAAAUUAGAAUUCCAAUUCUCGAAAAGUAAUCUUGUAUUUACAUUGAGAAAUUAAACAUUAUUUUCUCAUGCGGUUGUGCUACAAAUAAAAAUGAGUGGUGUUAUGACCAUCCCAUUAUCUUAUCUCAUCACCCACAUUAUAUUCACACCCUCUUUAAAAAACGUAAAAACACAUAAACUCUUUCCUCACCCACCAUUAUUCCUAAAAUAACCCUACAUCUUUAUUCUUCAAAUUUUUCUUGCUUUAAAAAAGUACAAUUAUCAUUAAACAAAAUUCUGCAACUACAAAAAUCCCCAUAAUAGUCGCACUAACCCUCUAAACCCUAGCCAUGCCGCCACCACCACCCUUGAAAACCCUAUCCUAAAUGUACCAGCACCGUCAAAACUACACCGCACCAAUAACCAACGCCCCGCCUCAGUCACCAACCAUCGCAGCAGCACCACGUCCCCAAACCGCUCUGGUAGUCAGCAGCACCAUGAGUCCCUUAAACCCUGAACCAGUCUAUUCUCGAGCCUCUCCAUUCUUGAUUGGUGUUUGCCAGCUAGAGCAAGUAACAUCCAUAUGAGAUGUAUGUGAAUACCUCUAUUCGACAAGAUUUCGAAUAACUUGGACGAAAAUGAUUAAAUCUGUAAACCCUAAUAAAGGAUUAUCCAGGGAAAUGGGACCUUGAAUCCGAUUGGAUUUUUUAUUGGGUUGAUUGUUGUAGAGGCAGUGGAGAUUACUGAGAGAGCCCGGCAACACCGCCGUGAGGGAAUAAGGCUAAGGGGAUUAUAGGGGUCAUAAUUGGGGAGGGCUUUUUAGUGUUUUUCCUUCUUUUUUUUCUCAUUUUUUUUUAUUUAGGUUUUAAACUUUCAAGUAUAUAACUAAUAAUUAGGUGCCAAGACAUGAUUGGUUGGUCUUUAGACCUUUGAAGGUCAUUUUACACAAGGGUAAAUUUGGCAAUAAAAUUAUGAGUUCAAGGUGAGUAGGGAAAUAAGACAAAGGGGUGGGCUUAACAGUACUCAAUAAUUAGGCUUGUCAGGUGAGUGGGAGGAUCGAGCUCAAGACACUUCCCCUGAGGUUAGGAGUUAGGACGUCUCUCCGAGGAAAAAGAUCCUUGCUGGAUCCUUUUUUUGAAGAUCUUUGGGAUCCCGUAGUGUUCACUUUAACAAAAAAUCACAUUUUUACACUAAAAAGUCAAUCUUGGUACUAUUUACUUUACCCUUUAUUUUGUCAUUAUCAUUAAAACUCAAAGUUUUCAAGCUCUUUUCAUCAAUUUUCCUAAUUUUAAAAUGAUUUUUUACCGCACGAUGUGCGAUGAACAAUCACGAUCAUGGAAUUCCUAAAAUCCAUAUGAAAAGGAUCAUACAUUUCAUUUCUCGUCUCGCAUAGAUUGUAUUUUACUAGUUUUCCGAAAAUAUUUUGGAAGUGUAAUUUUCUUAUAGUUCAAUUAGUGGUGUAAUUUGUAGAGAAGUCAACGAUAUCAUUCCCAAUAUCUUGGCUUAGUUUAGGAAACAAUUUUGUAAUUGAUUUGUAUAAGUUUAUUUUCCUAUUGUAUACCUAGAAAGUAGGGUAGUUUACUUCUUAGUCAAGUAUUGUUCUUUGUAUAAAUCUCUUUGUAUCAAUAGAAGAUAACACACUUCCGCAAAAUAUAUUCUUGCUCUAUUUUACAUGGUAUCAAGAGCUAGGUCGAAACCCUAGUUCUUGCCGCUGCCCUUUUUUUGCUAUUUUUCAAUAGCUUUUUUUCCGUCAACCAUCAUGGCCACUGACAAACUUUCCAAAAGUGAAGCGGCUGAUGUCAAGACUGAUGUUUCAAACCCUUUGUUGAUGGUACUGUCACACAGCCUUUCGAGAAAACCAAACCUGCCAACCAUACUACAUGGUAGAGAUGCAAUGAUAUGAUCGUUGCGUGGAUCAUCAACUCCAUUGAUUUAGAGAUUUCUGAUAGUAUUCUUUACAUGACUGAUGCUCAUGCAAUUUGGGAGGAAUUGUGAGAGCAUUAUUCACAAAGAAAUGCUCCUCGGAUUUUCGAGUUACAACGGGACAUUGCUUCUCUUACUCAAGACCAACUCUCAAUUGUUGCGUACUACACAAAGCUAAAGAAAUUGUGGGAUGAACUGGCAUCAUACAGUAACUCUACUUCCUGCACGUAUGGAGCGCAGAAUGAAAGAAAUAAAUUAAUGCAGUUUCUUAUGGGCCUCAACGAGUCCUAUAGUGCCAAUCGAGGGAAAAUCUUGCUGAUGAAUCCUUUACCAACUGUUCGUCAGGCCUAUGCUUCAAUUUCCCAGGAAGAGAAACAAAGAUCUCUUACUGCCUUACGUGGAGUCACCGAGACAGUAGCUAUGGUUGUCCAUUCAUGAUCAUCUGGAUCCUCCAGUUGCAAGCCCUUGCACUAUACUCAUUGUGAUCAUGACUAUCACACCAUUGAUACUUGUUAUCAGCUUCACGGGUAUCCACCAGGGCAUCGUCUUCACAAAGUCAAGCCUCAAAAAGGGAGCAAGCCUUCUAAAAAGGAAGGCAGUUCUUUUUCGUCUGCAAAUCAAGUUUCAGAAGGUGCCACUUUAGAAGAGAUGAAGUCAGUAAUGUCUGGGUUAUCUGACACCCAAUUCCAGCAAAUUCUUCACAUCAUGAAUAAUAAUAAAGGAGGUAACGUCUCUGUUCUUCCAAAAGCUAAUGUCGCUGCCAUGAAAACAAGUUUGUCGAAAUCUCUUUUGCCUUUACGUAGAUGGAUAAUCGACAGUGGUGCAACAGACCAUAUAACCUCCUCACCAUCUUUGCUUACUGAUGGUGUCAAAAACACCACUUUGUCACCAGUUUUAUUACCAAGUGGAGAGCAAGCUUGCAUAGUCUCCACUGGGAAUGUUCCUUUGAGUUCUACUUUUUUGUUGCGAGAUGUGUUGUGUGUGCCAACUUUUAAAGUAGAUUUGAUGUUUGUGAGUCGAAUUACAAGUGGAUUGCAUUGUUCUAUAACUUUUUCCCUUCGUGGUGUAUUAUGCAAGACUUGGCGACGAAGAAGGUGAUUGGUUUGGGUAAGCAAUGAGGCAGACUCUACUAUUUGGCAGCAUUGAUUUCCACCGCCUCUGGGAGCUCACACCGAGUCUGCAACCUUGUUCUCUCACCUACAGAGUUGUGGCAUCGACGUUUGGGGUCAUUUAUCACCUUUUAAGCUAGAUUUCAUGUCGAAACACCUAUUGCAUUUUCCUUUUCAAUCCAAUAAUGAUUGUGAUGUUUGCCCUUAGCCAAGCAAGGUCAUUUACCUUUUAAUAUCAAUUCCAUUACAACUACAAAACCUUUUGCUUUAAUCCAUUGUGAUAUUUGGGAUCCCUAUAAAAUUGCCUCAUUUUCUGUAGCAAAAUAUUUCUUAACUAUAGUAGAUGAUUACUUUCAUUUCACAAGAUUUUCCUUAUGCAACACAAAUCAGAAACACAACACGUCCUCAAGGAUUUUUUCUCUUUUGUUCAAACUCAGUUUAAUACAUCCAUUUGCCAAACAAGAGUAGACAGACAAUGGUGGAGAAUUUUUUUUCCCUUCGUGGUUUCUUCUAAGAUCAUGGGGUCAUUUAUCAAUGUUUUUGUGUCUAUACACCCCAACAAAAUGGGGUAGUCGAGCGCAAACAUCGUCACAUACUUGAAAUUGCUCAUGCUUUAUGUUUCCAAGCUAACCUUCCUUUUUCCUUUUGGGGUGAAUGUGUACUUACGGCUGUUCAUAUCAUUAAUCGUCUUCCUACCUUAAUCAUUUCUCAUCGUACGCCCUUUGAACACUUGUACUCCAAUCCAAACCACCUUCGUUUUCCCACCUUAGAGUAUUCGACUGUCUUGCUUAUGCAACCAACACCCAUCUUUCCCACAAAUUUGCCCCCCGAGCUCACAAAUAUGCCUUCCUUGGGUAUCCCGUUGGUCAAAAGGCAUACAAACUUUACAACCUUACCACUCAUACAUUUUUUACUAACUGAGAUGUUUUUCAUGAACAUAUUUUCCAUUACCAUUCUUCUCCAUCCUCUACUUCACCCACCACUACACCACUGCCUACAUCCUCUACUUCACCUACCUCCACACCACUGCUUACCCCUACACCCUUUUUACCUGAGACUCCCGAUGUUACCUUAUCGUGCCCUAGGGACUCUUCUUCUUCACCACCCGAGUCUUCUGCAAAUUUUCACCUCCCUCCUGAUGCAGCUCAUUUCGAGUCCCUUUCUACCUCAUCUGUGCCUCUUGCACCUUCUAAACUGAUGCUUCGCCGCUCUAGCCAUCACUCCUCACCGCCUCCAAGGUUACGAGACUAUGAAUGCCCUACUCUUAAGCUUACCCAACCAGAUCCUCCAUUGUCUUCGUCGUUUGGUUCUAAUAUAGGUACACGUUAUCCACUUGCUAAUUAUCUCACUUAUCAUCGCUUCUCACCUGCACAACAAUCUUUUCUUACAACUAUCACUCAACAGGUUGAACCCCAGACUUAUACUGAGGCUGGUGCUUCUCCCCAUUAGUAAGCUGCCAUGGCUUAUAAAUUACAGGCUUUGGAAGCUAAUCAUACGUGGAUUCUUACCCCCUUUCCUGUUGGCAAAUCUCCCAUUGGUUGUCGUUGGGUCUACAAAAUCAAGCUCCGUUCACAUGGCUCCAUUAAGCGUUAUAAAGCUCAUUUGGUUGCCAAGGGUUACACACAGCUUGAAGGUAUUGACUUUCAUGAUACUUUCUCUCCCACUGCUAAAAUGAUUAUUGUUCGCUGCCUCUUAGCUCUUGCUGCUUCUUGUCACUGGUCUCUCCAUCAACUUGACAUCAACAACGCAUUUCUUCAUGGUGACCUUCAUGAAGAAAUAUAUAUGCUUCCUCCUUUAAGUCUCCGGCGACAGGGGGAGAAUUUAGUAUGUCGCCUUAACAAAUCUUUAUAUGGACUGAAGGAAACAUCUCAUCAAUAGUUUGCCAAGUUUUCCAAAGCUAUUCAAUGUGCUAGUUAUGUCCAAUCAAAGGCAAAUUAUUCUUUGUUCACAAGGCAACGAGGCAAGUAUUUUACAGCACUCUUAAUUUAUGUUGAUGAUAUUUUGAUCACUGGGAAUGAUCAUAAUGCCAUUAGCAUUCUCAAAACAUUCCUUAAUAGUCGUUUCAAAAUCAAGGACCUUGGUGACUUGAAAUACUUUCUAGGCAUCGAAGUGUCACGAUCAAAGAAUGAAAUUUUCAUUUCUCAACGUAAGUAUGCUUUAGAGAUUCUGAGGGAUGGUGGUAUCUUGGGAGCUCGUCCAAUUGAGUUUCCCAUGGAGCAUAAUCUUAAACUUUCAAACAAUGGUGAGUUACUUAAAGAUCCGGCACAGUAUAGAAGGUUGGUGGAUCGAUUGAUCUAUUUAACGAUUACUAGGCCGGACAUAACAUAUUCAGUGCAUGUGUUAAGUAGAUUUAUGCAUGAACCUCGCCGUCCACACAUGGAAGUAGCUCUCUGAGUUUUGAAAUACAUAAAGAGUACUCAUGGACAAGGUUUAUUUUUCUCUUCUAAAAAUAACUUGACCUUGAGUGCAUAUUGUGAUUCAGAUUGGGCAGGAUGCCCUACGACACGAAGAUCAACCACAAGGUAUUGUGUUUUUUUGGGUUCUUCAUUGAUUUCUUGGAGAUCAAGACACAAAAAACCGUGUCUUUGUCAUCAGCUGAGGCCGAAUAUAGAGCCAUGACUGGAACUUGUUGUGAACUAUUGUGGCUCUGAUAUCUUCUAAAGGACUUGGGUUUGUUGCAUCCAAAACCGGCCUUAUUACAUUGUGACAACAAAGCAUCUCUUUAUAUUGCUGCCAAUCCAGUUUUCCAUGAGCGGACUAGACAUAUAGAGAUGGAUUGCCACUUUAUUCGAGAUAAAAUACAAGAUGGUUUAGUUGUCACACGAUUUGUUCCCUCUUCACACCAACUUGCAGAUGUAUUCACGAAAGCAUUGGGGAAGGAAUCUUUCUCGUCCAUUAUACAUAAGUUGGGAGUUCUAGACAUCCACUCUCCAACUUGAGGGGGAGUGUAGAGAAGUCAACGAUAUCAUUCCCGAUAUCUUGGCUUAGUUUAGGAAACAAUUUUGUAAUUGAUUUGUAUAAGUUUAUUUUCCUAUUGUAUACCUAGAAAGUAAGGUAGUUUACUUCUUAGUCAAAUAUUCUUCUCUUUGUAUCAAUAGAAGAAAACACACAUCCGCAAAAUAUAUUCUUGCUCUAUUUUACAUAAUUUGGCUUGUAGUUCAUACAUUUCAUUUCGAGAAUUGUAUUUUGUUUCAACAAUGGAAUGAUCAAAACCAGUUUUACUUCUUUUUGCAUUCUUUAUUUACAUUUUACGCAAUCUGUAAUUUUAAGGCCUCGAUCUUCAAGGCAUAAGAAGAACGUAAUUGAGCCAACGUCUCAUUGAGUGCUUUAUCGUUUGGUUCACACAUUGAACCUAGGUCAACACUACUACAAUAUUAGCUUUAGGUGGCGGAUAUUAGAAAAAUCAUGUCGGAUAAAUUAUAUCUGACACAUCAUUUAAUUAGUGGCGGAUAUUAGAAAAAUAUUGUCGGUUAUAUCCGACAUAAAGUCCUGACGGAUAUAAAAAAAUACUAUCGGUUAUAACCGACAGUAUUUUUGAAUCUUUUUUUUUAAAUAUUUUUGACAGAUUCUGGCAGUUUUUUAAGUUAAUGGUGGCGGUUAUAACUGACAAAAAUUGACUAUUUUAUUAUUUUACUUUCUGGUGGUUAUUAUUUUGUAUUCUGGCGGUUAUAACCGACAUAAAUGAAAAUUUUAUUAUUUUAAAAUGUUAUAUUGAUUAAAAAUAAAUAAAUAAACACAUAUUUUUUUUUUAAAAAAAAAAUCACUCAUGACAAAGUCUAAUGAACUCAUAUCCCACGAGCCAUAAAUUUUCUGAGGGAAUAAUAACAACAUAUUACAAUAUGAAGCUCUAUCAAUUUUGUAAUAAGGAUUAUGCUCCCGCACAGGCAAGCAACAAAAUACAAAGAAAUUCAAACAAUUUUUUUCAAUGCGUCACAAAACACAUUGUCUGGCACAUAAACACACAUGAAGAUCUGGUGUAUUCUAUCAUAUAUGAUUUUAUUAUUUUAAAAUGUUGUAUUGAUUAAAAAUAAAUAAAUAAACACAUGUUUUAAAUGUUUUUUUUUUCACUCAUGACCCUGUCAGAUAUAACCAUAAAAAACUUUUGUUCUGUUACCUAAUCUCUAAAUGUUUGUUUUUUGUGAUUAUUUACGUAUGCAAUCUCGGAGUAUAUACAAACAAGUUUGACGGUUGGAUCAUUGAAAAACAUUUCAUAGAAUGAGUAUCGCAUCAAAACGGUAGAUUAAACAAACACUUAAAGUUAAUGUUAUACUUCCCCAUCAAGUAUAAAAUAGAUUUUGUGGUAUCCAAUAGUGUAAAUAUUUUAAAUUGAAGAUCGAAUUAUUUCAAUGCAUUCUUAUAGGGUCGAGGAGUGUAGCUAUAAAAAUCAUCAAAAUCGGAGCUAAAAUAACCUUUAAAUUGUGAUUUUUUGUUUAUAACCAUUGAAAUUUUUUGUUUGGUUACCUAAUAUCUGAAUGUUUGUUUUUUGUGAUUUUUUACGUAUGCGAUCUCAGAGUGUAUACAAACAAGUCUGACGGUUGGAUCAUUGAAAAACGUUUCGUAGAAUGCGUAUCACAUCAAAACAGUAGAUUAAACACACACUUGGAGUUAAUGUUAUACUUCCCCAUCAAGUAUAAAAUAAGAAUUUGUGGUAUCCACCAGUGUAAAUAUUUUAAAUUGCAGAUCAAAUUUAUUCAUUAAAUUCUUAUAGGGUCGAGGAGUGUAGCUGUAAAAAAUCAUUCAAAUCGGAGGUAAAAUAACCGUUAAAUUAUGAUUUUUUGUUUAUAACCGUCGAAAACUUUUGUUUCCGUUACAUAAUCUAUGAAUGUUUUUUUUUUAUGAUUUUUUACGUAUGCAAUCUCGGAGUGUUUACAAAUAAAUUUGAUGGUUUGAUCGUUGAAAAAAGUUUCGUAGAAUGCAUAUUGCGUCAAAACGGUAGAUUAAACAAACACUUAUAAUUAAUAUUAUACUUCUAUUAAGUAUAAAAUAAGAUUUUGUGGUAUCCACGAGUGUAAAUAUUUUAAAUUGAAGAUCGAAUUCUUUCAAUGUAUUCUUAUAGGGUCGAGGAGUGUAGUUGUAAAAAAUGAUCAAAAUCGAAGCUAAAAUAACCGUUAAAUUGUGAUUUUUCGUUUAUAACCGUCGAAAACUUUUGUUCCGUUACCUAAUCUCUGAAUGUGUUUUUUUUUUACGAUUUUUUAUGUAUGCAAUCUUGUAGUAUCUACAAACACGUUUGACGGUUAGAUCAUUGAAACUAGUUUCGUAGAAUGCAUAUCUCCGUUAAAUUUGCCUAAAUUUUGAAGUGGAAAAUGUAAUUUGUGCUAAUUUUUUAUUUAUGUUUUUCAAGUAUUGAUUAGACCAUAAUUAGUUUGUGUGAUGACAUUUUCAUUGUACAGUUAUCUUUUUGUUUCUUUAUUGCAUAUUUUACAUGGGUUAUUAUCUAUUAAACCAAACAAUUAUUUAUUUAAUUUUAAAAAACGUAUUCUAUUUAAAUACAUAGUAUUUAUUUAUUUAUUAAGCCAAACAAUUAUUAUUUUAUUUUUUUAAAUCGUAACAAAAUUUGGGGGGGGGGGAAUUUAAAAUUUUGGGAGGGAAUUUGGGGGGAUUUUUACCGCCAUUUUUUUUAUGUCGAUUUUUAUUUUUAAAAAAUGUUUAUGUCGGUUUUAACCGAUAGUAAUGAAAAUUUUCCACAUUAAAACCCCUCCAUCUCUUCCUUGCACUGGCUUUCUCUCUUCCCCCUUCCUUCCCCCUUUUCUCCUCUCCGCAUUUCCUUCUUCUUUUUAUAUUUUUUGUUGAGCAUUCUCCCUUCUCCUUUUAAUUUACGAAUAAGAGAAAAACCAGAGCAAUGUUGGAAGACGAAGAGGGAAAAAACCCAAAUCUUAUCUCAUCAAUCAGGUACAUGCAAUUUUUUUUUUCUUCAGAAUUUUGGUUUUGGGUAUUUGAAGAAAUGGGAAAGAUGGGAUUUUUGGAAUGUGUGGUGACGGAGAGCAGCUGAAACGUGGCCAACGGCAAGAUAUGGAGGUCGUUUUGGAGAAGAAAGACGAUGUUGAUUGGGCUUACAAAGGCGAAGGGGCUGCUAAUGUUGUUCUCGCUUACACCUGAUCCUUCCUCUCUUUUGUAUGUUUCACUCUACCCUGAGCUUCAAUCUUGCAUUUUAAUUUGGCCUAAUCGGAUAAAUGCUCCCCGUGGUCAUAAGGUAUUCGGAUGAUAGCCCCUGUGGUAAAAAAAUUCGGAUUUAAACCCCUGUGGUCUAAGUCUGUUAGGAUUUAUGCCCAUCUGUUAAAUAAUGGUCACGUGGCUGCCACGUGGCUGCCAAAUGUCUGCCACGUGGCAAAAUAAUAAUUUUUUAUUUUUUUUUUAAAAAAAACCUGAAUUUUUACAAAAAAAAAAAAAAAAAAAAAAAAAAAAACCCAGAACCUCCCCCCCGCCCUCUGCCCAUUCCCCCCUGCCGUCCUUCUCCUUCUUCCUUCUUCUUCUUCCCGCCGGUCUCCCCGCGCGACUCCUCCCUCUCCCUCUUCCUUCUUCUUCUUCUUCUUCUUCUUCUUCUUCUUCUUCCCGCCGGUCUCCCCGCGCGACUCCUCCCUCUUCCUCUUCCUUCUUCUUCUUCUUCUUCCCGCCGGAGCCCUCUCCCCGCGCCCUCCUCCCUCUCCCUCUUCCUUCUUCUUCUUCUUGCAGAUCUGCGUUUUUUUUUUUUUUUUUUGUAAAAAUUCAGGUUUUUUAAAAAAAAUUAAAAAUUAAUAUUUUUGCCACGUGGCAGACAUUUGGCAAACACGUGGCAUAUAUGUGUCAGCCACGUCAGCAUUAUUUAACAGAUGGGCAUUAAUCCUAACAGACUUAGACCACAGGGGUUUAAAUCCUAACAGACUUAGACCACAGGGGUUUAAAUCCGAAUUUUUUUACCACAGGGACUAUCAUCCGAAUACCUUAUGACCACGGGGACCAUUUAUCCAAUUAGGCCUUUUAAUUUUUAAUUUUAAGGAAAAAGUUGAAAAUUUGUAGUAGUUUGUGAAGGGAGUUGGAAUUGGGUAUUGAUUGUUCUUAUUGUCAUGCUUAGGAAAUUUUGUGUCGUUUCCGUUGAUUGUGUAAAUGUUUGAUGUUUGAAUGCUGUGUGUGAUUUGGGAUCUCCAGGCUUUUCUUCAUUCUUCUAUUUAUGGAAGAUGUGGGUUUUCUCUUCUGUGUUUCUGUUUUCUCUUCCAUUCAAGCUCUUCCUAACCUUAUGGCAUGCGUUCUUCUGAGUAAUCUUGGAGAAUCCAUUACAAAAGUAGCACAGGAUGCUCUUGUUGCAGAGUAUGGCCAAGAGAAAAAUAUGACUGGCUUCUAGUCUUAAGCAUUCAUGGCAGCAGCUACUGGUGGAAUCCUUGGCAACUUAAUAGGUGGAUAUUUCUUGAUGAAAACGCUGCCCAGAACCAUGUUUCUUUUAUUUGCAAUUUUAAUCUCUGCUCAACUUGUUUGGAUCAAAACUUGAACUUUGGGCUCAAGAAAAGAGCUGGCCCAAAAGGAGGCCCGAAGGGAAAGACAACCGAAGCCCAGUCAAAGCCCAGAAAGCAGAAAAGGCCUUUUCUGACUUGGUGCAGCUCAUAAAGACCACUUGCUUACCUACCCAAAGGCCAAGUGGUAUAGACUGACCAGCUACACAGCCCAUAAAGUACUUUAUGAUGGCAGUACAUGUAAAAUAGCUGAUGAGUCAUCACCCUUCAAACCGCAUUCGGGCAAGGUUGCUGCUACAGGAGACCAAGCCGAGUUGUCUAUAUAAGAAGAAAGAGAAACCAGGAAUAAGGACACUCAAUCAAACAAACAAAUGCAAGCACAAACUCUGCUCAAAGCCAGAUUUGCCUUCAAAACGAAGCUGUAGUCAGCCCAAGCAUUCAUCCCUCUCGGGACAAGCCUUCAUCCCUCGCGGGAUAAACCUUCGCUCAAACCCUUGUAAUAGCUCUGCUACCUUGUUCAACCUUGCUGUAUUAUCGAUUCAUCUUUUGUAAAUCUCUCCCUCUCCCUGAAGCUUUCAUACCCUUGAUAAACCACAAAGAUAGGAACCUGCAAGACAACCAGACUUGUCCGACAAGGUUAAACCUUGCCCGACCUUCUUUGUUUUUGUCUUUUCAUUCAUUAGCCUAGCAAUAUGUUGUAUACUUCCAAUUAUAUUCAAGUUAUUUCUAGCAAGAUGACUAUUAAAAGGCUUUCUCAGUACUGGGAUCCGAUUUGAAUAUAUCUUCAGUGUUCAAACCAGAUCCAAGUUCUAAGCCCUCGGGCAUGUAAAUCUGAUUAGUUAAAAGUCCUUAGCCUUAAGGCAUAAAAAAGAACCUUAUGUGGACUUAACCCAUCCACGAUAAUCCUUGAUAAACGAGAAGUCCGAAGUUACUUGGGGCGCAAGUAAUCGACCUACCUCUUAGUCUUAUUUCAAUUACAUUAUGAUUAUCAUAGAACGCUUAAGCAUGGGAAGGAUUCUAAUAGGAAGCCUCAAGGCCUACACCUAAGGCCCCACAAAGGCACCUAUUUGGAUUCAUUCCGUUCUGCGGUCUAGAACGUUUAAGUGUAAGAACGAACUCUAAUAGGAAGCCUCAAGGCCUACACCUAAGGCCCUACAAAGGCACCUAUUUGGGUUCAUUCUACCUCUCGAACUCGGGUAAUCAGAAGUAUAAUAGUUAUAAGACUCAUGCAUGCACAAGAACAAAUAUGAUGUGUUUGAGCACAGGUUUAGUUAUUGAUAGGAAGCCUCAAGGCCUACACCUAAGGCCUCACAAAGGCACCUGUUAUAACUAACACGGUUUCUCGGGUAUAUACAUAUACAACCAAAACACGACAUCCAUUUCACAUCUGCCAUACUAAAGAUGGCAGUGGCACGCCUGAGCACUUAAAAGUUAACCUUGAUUGUGAGCCUCAAGGCCUACACCUAAGGCCCCACAAAGGCACCUCUCAAAGUUAACUUUGUCCUUCUCUUUCAGCCUUACCCGACGAGCCUUGCCCGAAGAGUCUUGCCCGACAAGACUUGCCCGACAAAGCCCUACAGUGAAGCAGAAACCCGACAGCAGCCCUCAACCGGCGCCAACCUCCCGGGGAGCUGUGUGCUCGUCGGCCAGGAAACAUCCCCGACGGAAAUUCCUGACGCGAACAUAGUUUUGGCACGCCCAGUGGGACCAUCAUUUGAUCAGAAGAUAUAUGUCAAAAUGCCAGAAGAUUUGCAAACCAUGUUACUACAAAUGUUGCAAAGAUUGGAGAAAGCUUCCACAGGCUCCAGAAAAGAAACAGACCUGGUUCCUCCCGAGGGAAAGAGACUUAAAACCAGCCCGCUAGAAGAGUUGGUGGUAAACAAACCUGUAGUUCCAUUUUCAGAAGCCCCUGUAAAUAUGAUUAAUAUGGCAUGGGUUGAGAAGGGAAAAGAAAAAAUCACAAGGGAACCAGAGGAAGAAAGAUUGGCUCAAAAACCUAUUUGAGGGGUGAUUAAAUCGCCCGAAUAUCCAAAAGCAGCCAUAAUCAAGGGGAUGGUUAUGUGUAGUAAGUGCCAAUGCGAGUGUGAGCUCGAAAUUCCCCCAGCUGGAAUCCUCAUUGAUCAUGAACUGAUCAGGAGGAAGGAAGAAGGUGAAAUGAGGAGAGCCCACGAAAAGAUCAAGCAGGCUACGAAAAAAGACACUUCCCGAAGCGUUUUUCAACGAUUAGGAGGUGAUUCCCAACCCAAAGCUUUGUCAGAAGUAUUUCGAAACCAUGAGGCUUCUGAAGAGGCAGAAGAUAUGGAGGCCAAAAUACGGAGGGGUACAUAUCAUCCUCAAUAUGGCCAGAUGGGAAGGGAAAUCAAGAGGAUGGAUGGGAUAACAAAUCCUGUCAGAAAAGAAAAACCUGCCCACCUCAGGCGAAAAUGGUACGUAGUCGGAAAGAACGAACAGCCUACCAAACAAAUGGGAGCCUCCAUGGUCAGAAGGGUUUAAAGGCAGCACAAAGCUUACAUGAAUUCCCUGAAGACCCCCGCAACAUCCGAAGCCUCCAAAAAUAAAAAAUUGGAGAAAACAUCAUCUGGGGGAAAUAGUCAGCUCUGCUGGAGAAGUAAGAGAGAGGUGGAAAAGGCCAAUAGCAAGACGGAAGGCGAGGAGAAUCACGUGCCGCAGAGCCAGCACCCUGGGAAGUAUCGGAUCUUGAGGAGAGCUCAAGAAGAUCUGGUUAUGGUACCAAACCCCGGGUGGAAGCCAGAGCCUAUUUGCGUUGGAGCUGUUUCAUCUAAAAGGAUACCACCUUCCCUGCCCUUGGUGGAUCCUUUUGGUGAAGUUCCAAAGCAAACGCUGUAUGCGGGCAUGAAUCAACAGAAGAGGGCACCAAAACCACUACUUCCAGCUGAUGCAAUGGCCUGGUUGGACGAAUUCAUGGACCAGAUUGGGGGCAAUAAAGAAGAUAUGCCCGAGCCUAGUAAUUUUCAUAUCAACAUGGCAUAUGUAUUAUCCGCCAUGUUUGGUGCCAGACCUGAUCAGCCCGCUACUAUGGAGAAUGAUUACUUGACAACUGAGCCAAUGAUGGCACAUGUCAAUGUGGAGGUAGUCGAAGGAGGAGAGUCGGGCAAGGCUGAAUCCACUGAAGCGUUCAAAGAUAGUCCUUUCAGGAUUUACACAGACGAAAUGGUGUUUAGCCGCCCGAACAGCUCGUUGGCCAAUCAUCUGAAGCCCAUAUAUGUUGCUGCUCAUUUGGAAUGUGUGCCCUUCAAAAGAAUUCUAAUUGAUUGGGGAGCAGCUGUUAAUGUGCUACCAGCCAAGCAAAUGAGGAAAAUAGGAAGAGGCACGGAGGAUCUUAUUCCCACAAACCUCACGGUCUCUAACUUCUCAGGCGCUAUCACCAAAACUCAUGGGAUAUUGCCUUUAGAAGUAGAUUUGGGAUCUAAACAGAUCAUGUUGGCAUUCUUUGUGGUGGACUGCACUUCCACUUAUGGGGCCUUACUCGGAAGAGAUUGGAUCCACCAAAGCCUGGCCAUACCCUCCACUCUUCAUCAACAAGUGGCUGUUUACCAUGAAGCGGGCACAGAAGGACCAGGCUUUUGGGAGAUGGUAGAGGCCGAAUCACGGCCAUUUCUCCCCACAGCCAAUGUUGCGGAAGCAAGUUUUUACAACCCCAACGUAGGAAUCUUGAAGUGUUCAGGAGCUGACGAGAACGGCCGCCCUACCAAGGUGACGGCCCAAAAGCUUUUGGAACAAGGAAUGCUCCUUACUAAAGAGGAGUGGGACAUACCUUGUAUCCUCCCAAAUCCCCUACACCAUCAAUGACUGAACAAAAGAAGAAAGAUCAGGUAACAGUAGUCAAAUCCCUGAUUAAAAGACUGUUGGUAUAUGGGAAGAGAAGAAACCAAGAAAGGGAGCUAUUGGACAAAGAAGAGCAGGAAUGGCAGGUGGGAACUUCAACCAGCCAGCAUGAAAGCAAGGAGGAAUCUUGCAAAGAAGAAUUGGAAAGGGCCAUUCAAAUGACCGAGUGCAUUUAUGACCUAGAUGGGCCAAAUGACUUGCCCGAGAGCCCGGAGUUAGUCGAAUUUUUGUGUGCAAAACCUGAUAAGCCACCACCAGAAGUCCAGGAUCCUCUGGAAAUUAUUGAUCUAGGAAUAGAGGAGGAUCCAAGACCAAUACAAAUUAGUGGUUUAUUGGGGGUUGAUGAUCGGGCGAAGAUUAUCUGCCUUUUGCAAGAGUUCAAAGAUUGCUUUGCUUGGCAUUAUACUGAGAUGCCAGGUUUAGAUUCAGCCUUGGUGGAACAUAGAAUGCCCAUCAAGGAGGGAUACAAACCUGUUAAGCAAGCACCACGAAGGAUGUCAAAGGAGAUAGAAGAAAAGGUCAAAGAAGAGAUUGAAAGGCUAGUAAAAGCUGGCUUUAUCAGACCAGCCAAAUAUGUAGAGUGGUUAGCCAACAUUGUACCCGUUUUAAAAGCUGUAACAAAAGCAGUACGAUGUUGUGUGGAUUACAGAAAUAUAAAUGGCGCUACACCAAAAGAUGAAUAUCCCAUUCCCAUGGCCGAUUUAUCCAUAGAUGCAGUAGCAAAACAUAAAGUCCUAUCUUUUAUGGAUGGGAAUGCCGGGUAUAAUCAAAUAAAGAUGGCUCCAGAAGAUAUACACAAAACAACUUUUAGGUGUCCCGGUCAUGUGGGGGCAUAUGAAUAUCUGGUCAUGCCAUUCGGGCUCAAGAACACUGGUGCAACUUACCAGAGGGCGAUGAAUGCCAUCUUUCACGAUCUGAUUGGCCAGAGCAUGGAGGUAUACAUUGAUGACAUAGUGGUGAAGUCCAAGACAGAAGAACAGCAUCUGGAAGAUCUUAGAAAAACAUUAGCAAGGAUGAGGAUCCACAAAUUGAAGAUGAAUCCAAAGAAGUGUGCGUUUGGAGUAAGAGCGGGCAACUUCUUGGGAUUCCUGGUGCAUCAAAGAGGUGUAGAAGUGGACAAGAACAAAUCUCGGGCAAUAAUUGAGUCACCUUCACCCACCAACAAGGUGCAACUCCAGAGUCUACUUGGCAAAAUUAACUUCUUGAGGAGAUUCAUUGCUAAUUUAGCAGGCAAGAUCCAGCCGCUGACUCCUUUACUAAGAUUGAAGGAUAAAGACAACUUCGAAUGGGGACCACCGCACCAACAGGCCUUUGACACCAUCAAGGCCUAUUUAACUUCUCCACCAGUGUUGGUGCCACCUCAAAGGGGAAAACCCUUGAAGCUGUAUAUUUCUGCCUCAGAAAAGUCAAUCGGGAGUUUGCUAGCCUAAAAUAAUGAAGGCGGGAAGGAGCAGGCAGUGUACUACCUCAGUAGAAUUCUGACCGAGGUAGAGACAAGAUAUUCCUCGGUAGAGAGAUUAUGCUUGGCUUUAUAUUUCACUGCCAGUAAAUUAAGGCAUUACAUGUUACCUUGUCACGUGCACAUCAUCGCCAAGACAGAUGUGAUAAAGUACAUGUUGUCAAAGCCAAUGCUCACAGGAAGGAUUGGGAAAUGGAUUCUAGCAUUAUCAGAAUUCAGUUUUCAGUACGUACCCCAAAGGGCAGUCAAAGGCCAAGCAAUUGCUGACUUCCUGGCCGAGCACCAAGAAUCUCAAAGUGAGGUAAUCAAUAUCCCAGGAAGCCUGGAGGUUACUAGCAUUUGGAUCCCGCCAAGAAAAGAUAUUUCGGGCAAAGAAGACUGGGUCCAACAAGAGAUAAGAAGAGUAGCUGGUCUCUGGAUUACUCCUUGGAAAUUGUAUUUCGAUGGAUCUCACACUCAGAAGGCUUCAGGAGCGGGGAUUGUAAUUGUAAACCCUCAGGGAGUUUAUCAUUAUUAUUCAUUUCUCCUAGACUACCAGGGAAAUACUAAUAAUCGGGCAGAGUAUGAGGCCUUAAUAAUUGGUGUGGAAAUCUUGAUGGAUCUGGGGGCAGUAGAGGUAGAGGUCUUUGGAGAUUCAGAGUUGGUAAUAAACCAGUUAAAUGGGGAGUUCAAGUGCAGACAUAUUACCAUGGCGGGGUAUUACUUGGCAGCUACGCAAUUAUUGAGUUUAUAGGAUUCUGAGAUAUCGGUCAAUCAUGUUCCCAGGGGAUCCAACUUAGCGGCCAACGAGAUGGCACAACUAGCCUCAGGAGUGCCAAUACAGGAGAGAAAAUAUGGGGUAGAUGUCGAGGUCCAAAUGAGAAACCUUCCUUCCAUCUUAGAAAGGGGAUUCAGUCUGAAUGUAAUGAGGCUAGAAGCCGAGAUAGAAGAUUGGAGGUCACCUAUCAUUCAUCAUUUGAAGGAUCCCUCUUCGCCUACAAGCAAUAAGGAUAGACAGCAAGCAACUAAGUAUGUCUUAUGGGCGAAGAACUUGCUAAGAAAAACUCCAGAUGGGUUACUGUUGAAAUGCUUGGGCCAAGAAGAAUCCAUGAGGGUAAUGGUCUAAGUACAUGAAGGAGUAUGUGGAGCACAUCAGGCUGGAACGAAGAUGAAAUGGUUGCUUAGGAGGUAUGGUUAUUUCUGGCCCGACAUGGAAAAAGAUUGUAAGUCUUAUGCCCAAGGUUGUGAAGAAUGUCAAAGGCACGGACCUCUCCGGCAUGUGCCCUCGGUACCUUUAAAUCCAGUGGUCAAGCCUUGGCCCUUCAGAGGAUGGGCGAUGGACUUCAUCGGGCAAAUCUAUCCAGCUUCUAGUAAAGGCCAUACCUUCAUAAUUGUAGCAACGGAUUAUUUCACUAAGUGGGUGGAAACAUCAGCAGUAAAAUCCAUAACUUCAGCCACAGUCAAGAAUUUUAUCGACACCAAGAUUCUGCACAGAUAUGGGGUGCCCGAAACUAUAGUAACGGAUUGUGGACCAUCUUUUAUUUCAAAAGAAGUUGAGGAGUUUGCAAGUAAGUACAAAAUAAAGAUGAUUCAAUCCAGUCCGUACUACCCUCAAUCAAAUGGCCAGGCAGAAGCCAGCAACAAGAUCCUGGUCAACAUUAUCAAGAGAAUGGUGAUUGAUAGUCCAGAAAAGUGGCAUGAAAAUCUGGGGAACACUUUGUGGGCAUACAGAACUUCUAAGAGGGCAGGAACAGGGACAACUCCUUAUGCUUUAACUUUCGGGCAAGAUGCAGUGCUCCCAGUGGAAAUCAAUGUAAGUUCUUUAAGAAUUCAAAAUCAAUUUGGGUUGCAUAGUGAAGAGUACAUCGAAGCCAUGUGUCAAGGAAUUGAAGACUUGGAUGUAGCCUGAAUUGAAGCUUUGAACCAAAUUCAAGAAGGAAAGCGAGCCGUUGCCCGAGCUUAUAACAAAAAGGUGAAAAUGAAGUCUUUCAAGGUAGGGGAUUUAGUAUGGAAGACAGUCCUCCCUCUAGGAGCUCAGCUCAGGGACUUUGGAAAAUGGAGCCCGACAUGGGAAGGUCCUUUCAUUAUUAGUCGCGUUUUGGAUAGAGGGGGAUACUACUUGGCGGACCUUGAGGGAAACAGGCAUAAACAUCCCAUUAAUGUUAAAUUCUUAAAGAAAUAUUGUCCUACGUUGUGGGAUGUCAGAGAUUGUUAUAUUGAAGAGGAUGCAAGGUAAAGCAAGCUUCGGGAUAUCAACGUGCAGUGUAUAUUUAUCAAUCAUUCAAGAAGAUGGAAAGACAAGAGUUGCUGAGAUAAUGUAUAUUUCAUUUCGACAAAUUGAUGAAAUUUACAAAAGAUUCAAAGCCGACGUAUUACAAUCAAUUCUCCUUCUGGAUGCAAUGGUAUCUUCAGCUGAUUUUCCGAUGUCCUCAUGGAUGGAACCCGAUCAGGUGAUCGGGUUGUGCGGCCAACAUGAGCCUGGUAGAGGAUCCUCAGACAGGACCAUCACCAUAAGUGAUAGUGAAGCCCGACUUAUCACCGCAACAAGCACGAAGACAAACCUUCGAGAGGAAACCGCCUGACCAGGGGUGUUGGAGAUAGCGGGGUGUUUGACUAAGGGUGUUGGAGAUAGCAGUCUUUUGAUGAAAGCCCUUUUUUUCUCACGAAAAGGGAGUUUUAGGAAACCCCACUCAAAGCCGGAGGAACCCAUUUCUCAAUUUCUGAACGCUCGAGGAAGAUGGAAGAGAAGACUGAAGAGGAUUUGAUGGCUUGACAGAAGAAAUUCCGAACCAGAAUUUAUAGAGCCCCCAGAGGAUAGUUCAAAGGUCGUGAGGAGAGCAAGGGGCACAGGGUUGCCUUCAUCCUGCCUAGAAAACACGAAGUUCCAAAAGAUUGAUAUACACGCAUGCGGAUAUUCAAUCAAUGAUGGCGCCUGGGAUUCCAACCUUAACAUUAAUUGAAGGGGGCACUGUUUGGAUCAAAACUUGAACUUUGGGCUCAAGAAAAGAGCUGGCCCAAAAGGAGGCCCGAAGGGAAAGACAACCGAAGCCCAGUCAAAGCCCAGAAAGCAGAAAAGGCCUUUUCUGACUUGGUGCAGCUCAUAAAGACCACUUGCUUACCUACCCAAAGGCCAAGUGGUAUAGACUGACCAGCUACACAGCCCAUAAAGUACUUUAUGAUGGCAGUACAUGUAAAAUAGCUGAUGAGUCAUCACCAUUCAAACCGCAUUCGGGCAAGGUUACUGCUAUAGGAGACCAAGCCGAGUUGUCUAUAUAAGAAGAAAGAGAAACCAGGAAUAAGGACACUCAAUCAAACAAACAAAUGCAAGCACAAACUCUGCUCAAAGCCAGAUUUGCCUUCAAAACGAAGCUGUAGUCAGCCCAAGCAUUCAUCCCUCUCGGGAUAAACCUUCACUCAAACCCUUGUAAUAGCUCUGCUACCUUGUUCAACCUUGCUGUAGUAUCGAUUCAUCUUUUGUAAAUCUCUCCCUCUCCCUGAAGCUUUCAUACCCUUGAUAAACCACAAAGAUAGGAACCUGCAAGACGACCAGACUUGUCCGACAAGGUUAAACCUUGCCCGACCUUCUUUGUUUUUGUCUUUUCAUUCAUUAGCCUAGCAAUAUGUUGUUUACUUCCAGUUAUAUUCAAGUUAUUUCUAGCAAGAUGACUAUUAAAAGGCUUUCUCAGUACUGGGAUCCGAUUUGAAUAUAUCUUCAGUGUUCAAACCAGAUCCAAGUCCUAAGCCCUCGGGCAUGUAAAUCUGAUUAGUUAAAAGUCCUUAGCCUCAAGGCAUAAAAAAGAACCUUAUGUGGACUUAACCCAUCCACGACAAUCCUUGAUAAACGAGAAGUCCGAAGUUACUUGGGGCGCAAGUAAUCGACCUACCUCUUAGUCUUAUUUCAAUUACAUUAUGAUUAUCAUAGAACGCUUAAGCAUGUGAAGGAUUCUAAUAGGAAGCCUCAAGGCCUACACCUAAGGCCCCACAAAGGCACCUAUUUGGAUUCAUUCCGUUCUGCGGUCUAGAACGUUUGAGUAUAAGAACGAACUCUAAUAUGAAGCCUCAAGGCCUACACCUAAGGCCCUACAAAGGCACCUAUUUGGGUUCAUUCUACUUCUCGAACUCGGGUAAUCAGAAGUAUAAUAGUUAUAAGACUCAUGCAUGCACAAGAACAAAUAUGAUGUGUUUGAGCACUGGUUUAGUUAUUGAUAGGAAGCCUCAAGGCCUACACCUAAGGCCCCACAAAGGCACCUGUUAUAACUAACACGGUUUCUCGGGUAUAUACAUAUACAACCAAAACUCGACAUCCAUUUCACAUCUGCCAUACUAAAGAUGGCAGUGGCACGCCUGAAUACUUAAAAGUUAACCUUGAUUGUGAGCCUCAAGGCCUACACCUAAGGCCCCACAAAGGCACCUCUCAAAGUUAACUCUGUCCUUCUCUUUCAGCCUUGCCCGACGAGCCUUGCCCGAAGAGUCUUGCCCGACGAGACUUGCCCGACAAAGCCUGACAGGGAAGCAGAAGCCCGACAGCAGCCCUCAACCGGCGCCAACCUCCCGGGGAACUGUGUGCUCGUCGGCCAGGAAACAUCCCCGACGAAAAUUCCUGACGCGAACACAACUUGCAAUUUCGUUGAGAAUACGAGAGGAAUCUCUUGAUUUACCACAAUUACCAGAUGACAGUCUUAUAAGAAAACCAAUCUUUGAAAGUAUCAAGAAACAAUUUUAUGAGCUGCAGAUGGGAAAUCAAAAGGAAAGUAUAGCUCGUCCUCUUAUUUGGAUUGUAGCGUCUAUUGCCAUGGUCCCAGUCCUGUCAGGUUCCAUCUUCUGCUAUCAAACACAAUGUUCAGUUGAUGUAUGCAUUUUCCCUUCUUCUUGACCUUGUAUUAGUGAGACAGAUCAAUGUUAGACUAGGGAUUCCAAUGAGAUGUUUGUCCUUUGUUUUUCGAGGUUGGCAAAGAGUAUUGUGCAGUUUAAGAUCUUGCCUUUCACAGUACUAUUUGCGAAUAUAAGUCCUCGAGGAUGUGAAGGAUCACUGCCUUUCACAGAAUGCUCAACGAGAAGGAGAAGGGAGAAUGCUCUUAUGUCAUUUUUAUUAUUUUUAUUAAUAUAUUUUCUGUCGAUUUUAUCCGACAGAAAUUCACUUAGUUAUAUUAUUAAUAUAUUCCCUGUCGGUUUUAUAUAUUUUCUGUCGGUUAUAUCCGACACAAUUUCUGUCGGUUUUAUAUUUUCUAUCAGUUUUAUAUUUACUGUCUGUUAUAUCCGACACAUUUUUUGUCGGUUUUAGAGUAUUUUAUGUCGAAAAAUUCAUUUCCUGACGCUGGCAAAUCUGUCGCUAUAAUAUCUGCCACUGCAUCAUUUCUGUCGGAUUUUGCUUAAUAUCCGACAAUAAUACAUAUUUCUUGUCAGUUAUCAUAGCGCCACUAAUAAAUGGUUUUGUAGCAGUGCAAUCUCAUAAAAACAUUCGGUUAAAAGCCUUUGAUAGUGGCAUGCUUGUUCUCACCAUUUCUCUCAAGGCUCUCCUUGGCAUUGAGACCAGGUUCGAUCAACUAGGAACGAACCUUACUCAAAGCUCAUCUUCGUUUUUUUUAAAAGAGAUUCAUAAUAUCUCAAUGAUCAUCGUCUCAAUCUUUUAACGAUUAGUGAUGGAUUUCAAGCUAUCUCCGGCGACUAGCGAUGGAUUUCAGUUAUCGAGGGACGAGUUUGAACUCGUCAGAUUUGAGGGUACCCAGAGUAUUGUUUCAUACUAAUUUCUCGAAAAUCCGUUGAAAAUCAUGAUGUUGUGGUAGUUAAACAAUGAAUAAUAUUUCAAAGAGUUUAAAAAACUGAAUUUAGAAAAAAAGGGUCAGAGACGAAGAAUAGAGAAAACACACUCACAGAGAUUGAGAGAGGAGAUAGAUGAUGACGUACGUAGCCACAGCUUCAAGGCCGAUGUGCUCUUCACAAACCCAAGUGCCCAUUUCACCUAUUGUGAAGGGCACUGCCCUCAAUAGCAAUGGUAUUAUCAAUUGCCGUCGGAGAAACAAUGGCGUUUGUUUGAUUAAGGCCAUGAAAAGCUCGUCUCCCCCACGACUAACCUUGUCGAGCAACUGGGAUUUUCCCUCAGCUACUACUUUAGCUCCAAGGUUGCCUAGAUUCGAAGAGCUCGAUACCACCAAUAUGUUUCUCCGUCAAAGAAUCAUCUUUCUGGGUUCUCAGGUUCUCUUUCUCUCAUAAUUUGGGUUUUCUUGCUUCAGCAUUGAAUAUUUUUGACAUGGGUUUUGCUGCUACUUGUGAAAUUUGGACUCGUUACUGUUUGUUGAAAGUUUAGUUCAAAAUUUGAUGGGAUUACUGUGUGUGUUUGUGUUUCUUAUUUACAAAAGGACUAAACUUGUGAAUAGGAAGGGUUGCUUUAUCUAAUUUUCUCUUCAUAUUUCUACCGGUGGGCAGGUCGUUGACAUGACGGUGGAUUUGAUCAUUAGCCAACUUUUAUUUCUAGAUGCUGAGGACCCUAAAAAGGACAUUAAACUGUUUAUGGCUAAAUAGCUAAAAUGGUCACUGAGAUUUGCAUACUUCUCGAUGAGAUGAAGGAUGUCUUGGUCUCAAGUUAGCCGCUUUCGAGCCGUUUUUUGGCCAAACCAUGGUGAUUUAGCCGUCUACAAAGGUACCAUUCUCUUCGUCUCAUCGAGAAAUAUGAUUUUCAUUUUUGAAUCACUUGAUUUCGUUGAGUAUUGAAGAAGUUAUGAAUGUUUAAAGUUUACCCAGUUUCCGGCUAGUUUUCCAGUUUUCCCUCGAACCAGUCAACUUUGAGGCUAUUUUCUGGCUAUCUCCGGCAGCCAUUGGGCUUCCAAAUAGGUAUAAUCUUAUUCUACACUUUCCUAUCUUCAUUUUGAUAUAUUAUGGGUCGAAUUUGGUUAAGAAACGAUUAAGUUAUGAAGCUUUGAAAAUUGCCCAAACUUCCGACCAAGAGCUCCGGGACACUUAACGGAAUUUUUAACGGAAUGACCAAAAUGAUGGAUGGUGGAUAAUAUCAGGGACCACUUUUAUUGAUUUGAAAUGUUAGGGACCAAAGUGAUGAGUUAUGCAAAUUUCAGGGACCAUUUUGGCUAUUUAGCCAUUGUUUAUCAAUUCACCCUGUGGUUCUGUUACUGCUGAUAUGAUUUAAAUAUACUUGGCAUGUUGGAUCUUGCAUCUCUCCUCAAUUAUUGCCUUCUGGUUCUUAUUUAUCCUUGAUAUUUGAGAUAACAAAACAUACAAAUGAAGACAUUUAGUAAGGCCCACAAACGGGUUGGGCAAAAAAAAUGUCCAUAAAAAAAAAAAAAAGUGUGCUUGCUCAUCGUGCUAGCUGGCUGGUUGGAAAUGGCUAGCCCGCUGACCUGAUUGGCUAGUUUUGACACGAUGAGGCCCACAAACCCUUUAGCCUAGCCUUCGGUUUGAAACGGUUUCGUGUCAUUUCAUGUUAUUUUCAACCCUAUGGUCCUCUGGCCGGAUCAGUUGAAGAUGGCCUAAUCUGACAACACCCACAAAACAGUCUGUUGGGAGCCUCCUGAUAGGAUUUUUACCGUCUAUGAAAAGAAGGUUAAAAUCACACAAAAUACUUGCAAGAAUACAAGGUUAUUGUAGUACAAAUGCUCAUGCAAGGUCGUUCUCCUCAAUAACUAUUUUAAUAAUUUAUGUAAAAACAAUUCCUAAUUAUCUACUUAGAAUUAAAAACUGAGAAAAGAGAUUUGACUUUUGAAAUUUUAAUUAACAACUAAUAAUAAAUUUCCCCCAAACGAAUACGAUAAAAUAAAAGAGUUUUAAAUACCAAUUUAUAAAAGCACUAGGGUUCCACCAUCACCUAGCAAUCAUAUGAAUUUUUACCAAUUACUUAUGAUCUACACAUGCCACUUUGAAGGUUAGGUAUAUCUAGCAUCGGACGUUCGGAUCAAAUAUGAACACGAGAGACUCAUUAUGUUUUAUGAAAACCCUUUGAAAAACCAUGCAACCCUUAAGACGUGAUGUUCAUUUUAAGUGAAAUUACAAUUAUUAAUCACAAGAAGCCAGCGUCAAUUUCAGGGAACCUUCAGACCAAAAUUGCAUCAAAUUACUUUUUUAAAGAUCAUAAUGGUGAUCAGACAUUAAAACAAUUAGAUAGUUUAAAACAGUGAUCAUUAAUUCAAAGCAUGUAUGCAAUCAAUCGUAAACAAUUAAAUAAAAAUACAUAGGCAUGGAACUCAAGUAACGACAUGAACGGAUCCAAAGUCUUGGGGAGCCAUGCAUUGCCGUGGAAAACCAAAUAACGACAUGAAGAAUGGCCCACGAAAAUAGACGCAAAGCAGCCCAUUUUGCUGCUCACACGAAUGACGCACGACACACGAACACCAGAAACCCUAGCUGCCUUAAUUCAACAUCGGAUGCCCUUUAUACAUUCGCUUUGAGGUCACAGCCAACGGCUAUUUUCUCUCAAUUUUUUAUUAUGUUUUGACACGCCGUUCUCUCGCUAGUAAUUGAGAGAGAUCUCUCAUUACUCUCAGCCUUCUCUCUCCUUGAAAAUUAGAAAUGGCUCUCCAUUAUUGCAAACCUUCUUCUCUCAACGCCCAUUAUUGCAAACCUUCAUCUCUCUAAACUCUUCAUCCACUCUGCAACCAAUGACCCAACAAACAUACACACCUCCGUUUCUCUAUAAUCCAGCCGUGGUGGAGUAAGCAUGAAAAGCUGAGAUGCAUGAAGCUAAAUCCCUCCUCCAUUUGUGUGUUUUUUUUUCUCAUUGCAGAUUUAUGUAUCGGAAUGAAAUGUAGCAAGAUUUAACACAUGCAUGUGUGUUUAUCUGUGUGAGGAACCCCAAUCGUUGCAAAUCCGAGAUAAACAACAAGAUAAACCCCCCUGAGUCGCCAACUCCGAGAGCACAGAGCUGUUCCAGCGCCCCCAAGCUUGCAAUCUCAGCGGAUCUACACCUCAGGUACAUAAAAAUAGAUCCCCCUUUCGUUUAAUCUUCGAAUGUAGAACACGAUCAGCACUAUUUUACAAUGCAUGCGUUGGAUCCUUUCCUUUCGUACGACACCCAUUUCGGAUUUAAACUAAAUUUGAAACUGAAAGUUGGUUUUGUAGGGAAAAAAAAUUAUUGGUGGCCUGCACAGAACGAAGGAAAGGUUGUCUUGGAUAUCACAGAUCCUGGCAGAAGCUUCCACGAACCCCAGAUCUGUGCAUCUGGGAGGUAAAAUUUCGAAUCCUAGGAAGUUUAGUUGUAGUUCUGGUAGUAAUAGCUGUACUCAGUAAUGUGGUGUAUGGAUAUGUGAUUUAAUUGUGCUUUUCUCAUCCAUGCAUCGCAAAACUGAGCUGCAGAAAAGAACUCAAAAUUAUGCCACGGUAUUGGAUUCGCAACAACCACCUCCAAACUUGUAUACCAUCCCGAUUAAUGUCUGGACAUUUGAAAAUUAAGAAAUGACGCCUAAACCAGUUGAGUCGCCUGCCUAAAUCAUCUAGGCACCCGUUUAGCCCACUCAGACCCACCUAGGUUACGACUCACUUAGAUAGAAAAUAAUAACUUUUAAUUUGCAUUUAAUUUUUUUCAACAAAUUGUAAGAAAUUUGUUGAAUACUUAAAUGAGCACACAUUAUAUGCUUGUUUCCGAUUUUUUCAUUAUGUUCCAAUACCUCAUAAUACAUAUGUCAUUUUAUUUUGUAAUUUAUGAUGAAAUUAUAUAUAUUAAGUAUGCAUAUACACUAAUUUACACGAAAUAUAAUGGAUUUACUCAAAUCCUUCUAGUCCACCUAGAUCAUGCCUAGCCACUUAGGCGCUAGGCCCCAACAUGCUACUCAACUAGCGUCUAGCGCCUUUUAAAACCUUGGUGUAGAUGUGAUUGAUAUUAAUGUAGACUUGUUGCUUGGUGCAUGAUCCAGUAUAGGAUAAUCCGCCCUUGUUUUUCCUGGUUGCAACCUGCAAUUAACCAAUAUGCGAUAAUAAAAAAUAAAAUCAAUUAGGUACAUAAAAACAAAAAGCAAUAGAUUUUAGGAUUUUUUUUUUCUUAUUUUUUGGGUACUAUUUUUUUUAUUUAUGCAGAUUUUUUUUUUUAAUUUUGUUUUUGUGAUGAUAUGAAAACUCAGCUAUGUGAGUGCAUCUAGAAAGUCAAACCAAUAAUAAAAUGGAAAAUCAAACGAAAAAUAAAAAAGUAAAGAGUUUAGAAAAAUUGGGUUGCCUCCAAAUAAGCGCUUUGCUUUAAAUCUGUAGUUAGACGUCGGAGAGGUCCGGUGGCUAGCUCAAUGGUUCCUUCAGAGUCAAAGACUCGCUUGCACCAAUUUUCCCUAUGAAUGGUUUAAGUUGAUGUUUGUUAACCUUAAAUGCGAAACCUUUGCCCUUAGCCUUGAUAUCCAUGUUACCAUUUUGAAAAACUUUAGUAACUAAGAAAGGGCAUUUCCACUAAGACUCUUAUUUCCCUGGAAAUGACUUAUAUGAACUUAACAAACACACUUUUUUACCAAGCUGUAUUUUCUCACGACUUGGACUGCUUUGUAACUUUUUAUUCUUGCCUUUGACAUUCAGAUGUUUUUGGUCAUUCUGGUGGCUUGGAUAGUUGUCAAACAAUGUCGAUUCUGUUUUUUAUUUUUGCACAUCAAGCACUUGGAUUUUGUGUUGCUGACCCUUAAUAGUUUUGUCAUCAUGACUUACAUUUAAAGACUUUAGGGAUAGAUGGUCAUUUGAUGAUCUGUUUUUACACUUGUCACAGGCUGAACCAUCUAACGCAUCAAUACGCAUGCAUUCAUGUUUGUCAUCUAGAUGUGCGGCGACUUAGGGUGGUUGUUUGUGUUGUUUUUCUUAGAUUUGCAAAGUUUGGGGGGUCCACAUACAGAUACAAACACAUGCAUGGGUUCGAACUUGCUACAUUUCACUUAAACAAAUAAACCUGAAACGAAAGUCAUAAGAUUUGAGGAUGUUUUACCUUUAGCACCUCCGAUUUUCAUCAAGCUCCACCAUGGAUGGGUUAUCAAGGCAUGAAGGUGUGUUUGUUUUUGGGUUAGUGAUUGCAGAAAAUGAUGAAGAGCUAAGAGAGAGAGUGGGGUUGCUGUGAAAUGAAUGGGUUAUAAGAAUGGGGGUUGGGUUUGAGUUAUAGAAAUAAGGGUUACUUGUCAUAUUCUAGAGAGCGAUUGAUUGAUGGUAUAUGGACAUAUGAUGCUAUAUUAGGAAUCCUAAGAGUCUAUGUGAAGGUUGUUUGAAAAUAAGAACGGAAGAGCCGUUUGGUUCUGGGUGCGAGGAGAUGAAGAGAGCCGUUGGCUUUGGGCUCGAGGCAAAUGGAUGCAAAGCAUCCAAUGUGAGAUUAAUGACAACUAGGGUUUCUAGCACCCGUGUGGCACGCGUGUGAGCUUCCAAUUGGGGUUUCGAACUCAUGAAGAUGAGUCCAAACAAUGUUGAGCCUCUCACGUGCUGAAUGAUGCAAGAUUUGGCUAAUUGCUGAUAGGUCGCACAUAAUAAAAUGUGUGAAAAUUAGAUAGUGGGCUGCGAGAAAAAAAUUGCAGCCCAAUUGGUAGCUCACACGCGUGCCACACCGGUGCUAGAAACCUUAUGUCACAUCUCGACCCGAGCUUCACCACAUCCCGGGCUCGACUCCACCGUAACACGAUAUUGUCCGCUUUGGGCCCCGACCAUGCCCUCAUGGUUUUGUUUCUGGGAACUCACACGAGAACUUCCCAGUAGGUCACCCAUCUUGGGAUUGCUCUCGCAUGAACUCGCUUAACUUUGGAGUUCCAAUAGAACCCGAAGCCAGCGAGUUCCCAAAAAGCCUCAUGCUAUAUGGAGGUGGGCAUGUACAUAUAAGGCACAUCACCCCUCUCUCCGUUGGUCAAUGUGAGAUAUUACUAUCCACCCCUUUUAGGGGCCCGACAUCCUCGUCGGCACACUCGCACCGAAUGGUAGAGUAAAUCUGAUACCAAAUUGUCACAUCCCGACUCGGGCUCCACCAUAUCCCGGGCUAGACUCUGUCGUAGCACGAUAUUGUCCGCUUUGGGUCUUGACCACGCCCUCACAAUUUUGUUUCUAGGAACUCACACGAGAACUUCCCAAUAGGUCACCCAUCCUAGGAUUGCUCUCAUGCAACUCACUUAACUUCAGAGUUUCGAUAGACUCUGAAAUCAGUGAUUUCCCAAAGGGCCUCGUGUUAUAUGGAGGUUGACAUGUAUAUAUAAGGCACAUCAUCCCCUCUCUGUUGGCCGAUGUGGGAUGUUACACCCUAGCUAGCUCGAGCCCAUAGCCAACGGUUUUUUUCAUUUCCUCGUAUCCAUUGUCAAAUGGCUCUUCUGUUUUUAUUUUCAAACGACCCUCAUAGAGACCCUUAGGAUUCCCAAUAUAACAUCACAUGUUCCUAUGCCUUCAAUCACUCGCUCUCUAAAAUAUGAAAAGUAGCCCUCAUUUCUCUAACUCAAACCCAACGCCCAUUCUUACAACCCAUUCAUUUCACAACAGCCCCACUCUCUAUCUCUUAGCUCUUCGUCCUUUUCUGUAGCCAUUAACCCAGAAACAUACACACCUCACCCAGAAACAUCCUCAAAUCCUGUGACUUUCGUUUCAAGUUUAAUUGUUCUAACCCAUGCAUGUGUUUGCACGGAACAAAAGAAAGGAUGUCUUCUAGGAGGCCACAGAUUUGGACAAACAGAAGGUAUAAAACCCUUGUGAUUUCAAGCAUGUAGACUGAUCUGCAAAGCAUAGCUAUAUUUAUCCUCGAUUCGCUCAUAACUCAGUUUUCCAUUUUUUUUUCUUCUUAUGUGCAAGACAUUCGGAUCCAUAAUAGUUCCAAGAGAAGUGAACGCCUUAAGCUGCCAAACCAGUAAUUCCUCAAAGGCAAAAUAAACUCCAAAGUCUCGGUUUCUGCAAUUAGGAAGGUAGAAAGAAAUCUGUCUUCUGCAUUUGUUUGGCUUAACACAUAGCUUUGAAUACAUUUCAUAUAUUCUGUGAUGUCAACCCUAAACUGAUUUUAUAAGAACUGGGACAUGUAAACAUUUGAAAACAACUUGGAUCUCCAAAUUGGUAAAGAUUUCGGACUAAACAUACUUGCUCUCAGAAAAACAAAAUGAAUUAAUCCUUGAAUCAUUUCUGAGAACAUAUAUGUGGACAAAGUGAACUGGAACCGUGAAGAUGACUAAUGAAGAACCUAUUCUAGACUUACAAAGUGACUUACUAUUCAACUCCAAUGCAUGAGUAAUAGAUCUGCUGAAAAAUAGUCUUGUCUACUGAAUAACUAAUGAAUUUGGUUGUUUUGUUUUUGUUGUGCAAGGAACCAGCAUCUGGAAGCUUGACAUGAGCAAACCAAAGGAAGAGGAGUUUGGUCAUCACAGAUCCCAAACUGCAUUUGCAACGAACAAAUCAUGGCAAAAGCUUCCAUAAACCCCAAAUCUGUGCAUCUGGGAGGAAAUUUUUUGAAUCCCUGCAAGUGUAAUUGUUGUAGAUCUGGUAAUAAAAGUUGUACUCAGUUGUGUGGUGUAUGGAUAUGUGAUUUAACUGUGCUCCUCAUCCAUGCAUCGCAAAACUGAGCAACAGAAAAUAACUGUUCAAAAUUGUGGCAUGGCACUGGAUCUACAAAAACCACCCCCAAACUUGCAUAUGUGAAUGUGCUCAUGUUAAUUACUUUAAAUUUUAGCAUAGGGUAGAUGUGGUUGAUGUUAAUGUAGAUUUGUUGCUGGGUGCAUGAUUCCAGUAUAGGAUGCUCUUUAUUUUCCAUUUAUGCAACCUGCAAUUAACCAAUAAUUGUGAAAAUUAAAAACAGAGCUAAAAUCGACUAAGUAGAUAAAGAAAACAACAUUUUUUUUCUUUAUUUUUGUGGUUUUAUGUAAAAUAAGAUAUGAGAAUGCAUCUAGUAAGUUAAGCUAAUAAUAAAAUGGAAAAUUAAACGCAAAAUAAAAUAAGGAAAUAGUUUAGAAAAAUUGGGUUGUAAGCAUUUUAUUUUAAGUUUGUAGCUAGAUAUUGUCGAAGGUUGGUGGCUAGAUCACUGGUUUCUUCAGAGUCAAAGACUCGUCUGUAGUAUUGAAGGAUGACUCCACAUAUGGUUUCAGCAUGUGACCAUUCAUCUUGAAUGUGUUGCCUUGAGCUUUAUUAGUUAUUUCAAUUGCCCCAUGAUAAUAGACUUUAGUAACCAGAUAAGGCACAAUCCAGCGAGAUUUUAACUUCUUUGGGAACAACUUUGGCCUUGAACUAAAUAACAAAACUUUUUGCCCUAGCUGAAAUUCCUUCCUUAAAAUUUGACUAUCAUGAAACGCCAUAGUUCAUUCCUUGUAGAUGCGAGAACUUUCAUAGGCAGACUAAUGAAUUUCCUCUAGCUCAUUAAGCUACAAUUUGCGUUUUUCCCAACUGAAUCAUACGAAAAAUUUAACUCUUUAAUUGCCCAGUAAGCCUUAUGUUCAAGCUCCAUAGGUAGAUGACAUGUUUCCCAUAAAUGAGUCAAAAUGGAGACAUCCCAAUAAGAGUCUUGUAAGCCCACAAAGCACCAUUUAAUUUUAAACUCCAAUCCUUACGUGUAAAACCAAUUGUUUUAUCCAAAAUGCGCUUUAAUUCUCUGUUUGAAACUUCAACUUGACCAGAUGUAUGUGGAUGAUAAGGUGUAGCCACGUGAUGAUUAAUCUCAUACUUUGCCAGUAAAUUAGCAAAUGGUUUAUUAACAAAAUGAUUCCCCCCAUCAUUUAGAAUAACGUGCAAAAUUCCAAAACACAGAAAUAUAACCCCCUGAAGGAACUUUAGGACCACUAAUUCUUGAUUAGUUAGUGUUGCAAUGGCCUCGACCCACUUAGAAACAUAUUCCACUUCAACUAAAAUAUAUUGGUUCCCAUUAGAAGAUGGAAACGGUCUCAUGAAAUCAAUACCUCAAACGUCAAAUAAUUCAACAAUUAAAAUACUUUGUUGGGGCAUCUCUUUCCUUUUGGAUUGGUUGCCAACCAUUUGACACUUGUCACAAGCCUUGCACUAAUUAUUUGCAUCUUUAAAAAGUGUAGGCCAAAAUAAACCACUCUACAAAAUUUUCUCCACUGUCAUUUUCUGCCCAAAAUGUAAAUGUCCCCACAUGCAAAAUGAUGAGCAAACUUUAAAACACUUGCCUAUUCAGCCUCAGGAAUGCACAUGCAAAUAAUCUGGUCGAGGCAGUACUUGUAUAAGUACAGUACAUCCCAUAAAUAAUGCUUUAUAUCAGAUAAAAACCUCUUUUUCUGCUAAAACGAAAAAUCUAGAUGCUCCUCACCCUUAGCCAAAUAAUUAACAAUAUCAGCAAACCAAUGUGUAUUAAUUUGGACAGCAAAUAGUUUUUCAUCUGCAAAACUUUCACUCAAUGGAAAGAUUCUUCUUCUGUAGCUGUCGGAAUAAUUAAUCUGGAUAAAUGGUCAGUCACCACAUUUUCACUACCCUUUUUGUCUUUAAUUUCUAAGUCAAAUUCUUGAAGUCAAAGAACCCAACGAAUCAACCUAGGCUUUGCAUCCUUCUUAAACAACAAAUAUUUAAGAGCAUCAUGAUCAUUAUAAACAAUUACCUUAGCCCCAACCAAAUAAGACCGAAACUUCUCUAACGUAAACACAACUACCAAUAAUUCAUUCUAUAUGGUUGCAUAGUUGAGCUAUGCAUCAUUAAGAGUACAACUUGCAUAAUAAAUGACAUGGGGAAGCUUGUCUUUACGUUGCCUUAAAACUGCCAUAAUGGCAUAAUCUGAAGCAUCACACAUUAAUUCAAAUGGUAAACCCCAAUCUGGUGCAACAAUGAUGGGUGCCUAAGUUAGGAGUGAUUUCAACUUGUUAAAUGCUUCUAAACAAGCCUCAUCGAAAUAAAACGAUGCAUCUUUAGCCAAUAAAUUGCACAGAGGUCGGCUAAUUUUAGAGAAAUCCUUAAUGAACCAGCGGUAAAAUCCUGCAUGUCCCAAGAAUGAUCUGACACCUUUUACUGAUGUAUGGGGUGGCAGAUUUGCAAUAACAUCAAUCUUGGUUUUAUCAACCUUAAUGCCUUUGUUAGAAAUCGAAUGACCUAAAAUAAUGCCCUGUCAUAAAAUGACAUUUUUCCUAAUUUAGCACUAAAUUUGUCUCUUGACAUCUCUCAAGAACUAAUGAUAAAUUAUGUAAGCACUGAUCAAUUUAAUCCCCAAACACAGAAAAAUCAUCCAUAAAAACUUCGACAAUAUUUUCGACCAAGCCAGAAAAAAUACUCAUUAUACAAUGUUGAAAAAUAGCUGGUGCAUUGCAUAACCCAAAUGGCGUCCUCCGAUAAGCAAACGUCUCGAAUGGGCAUGUAAAAGUUGUCUUCUCUUGGUCCUCUGGUGCAAUUGGAAUCAGAUUGUGCCCAGAAUAACCAUCUAAGAAACACUAGAAAGCCCUUACCAGCCAAUCUUUCUAAAAUUUGGUCAGUAAACGGUAAUGGGAAGUGAUCUUUUCUUGUAGCUGCAUUUGGUUUCCUGUAAUCUACACACAUACGCCAGCCUAUAGUUAAACGUGUAGGAACAAGCUCAUUAUUGUCAUUUUUAAUCACUGUAAUUCUGGAACGUUUAAGCAUAACAUGCGUAGAACUCACCCAUUAACUAUCUGAAAUAUGAUAAAUCAUACCAGCAUCCAGUAAUUUCAUAACUUAUGUUUUGAUAACUUUCAUAAUUUGAUUAAGGCGGUGUUGAGCAUCUAUUGUUGGCUUCACGUCUUCUUCCAUUAAAAUUCUGUGCAUGCAAAGUGCUGGGCUAAUACCCUUGAUGUCGGCUAUUGUCUAUCCCAAUGCAUCUUGAUAUUUUCUCAAAACACGAAACAAUUUAUCUUCUUCUGUCGAUGUAACACCUCACCCCCAUUUUAUUUAAAAAUGGUUUUUAAUUCUUAAUUGGUGUGCCCAAGGGCCCACCUUCUAUUUUUGUGUCCCCCAUUCCCGUCACUCUUCCUUCUCUCUCUGUCCCUCCCCCGUGAACUCCCUUCUUUCUUCUUCUUCUUUUCUGUUUUCUUUUCUUCCUUCUUCUUCUUCUUUUUCUGUCUGUCAUGUCUCUCUCCCUUCUCUCGGACCUCUCUCAGCUCCCUUAUCUCUCUUCUCAACCGCGAACGCACGCACGCAACCAUCUCCCCUGCGCGAGGAAGACCCCACAUCGUCGCCAUCUCGUCCUUCUCCCCCUCUGUCCCGUGCUGCAACCCCAGGAAACCCGGAAAGGAACUCCGGCGAGUUCCUAUUUUCCCGGUGAGGUAAGCCUCAAAUCUCCCUUAUUUCGUCCAAGAAUCUUGUGGGUUGAAUUUUAAUUGAGUUUAUUGUGUGAUUUUUGGAGGUUAUAGGACGAAAUCGAAGCCGGGUGUAGGCACACCCAUCUCCGACGACUUUCGAGAGAAUUUCCGGCCAAACCACGGCGAGUUGGCCGGCGUGCAAGGUAUCAAUCUCUUCGUCUCGUCGAGUACUAUAACUUUCCUUUUUGUUUCACUCAAUUUCAUUGCGUAUUGAAGACGUUAUACUCAUUUGAAAUCUUACCCAGUUUCCGGCGACCUCCGAGGCUUUCGAGGCAAUUUCCGGCCAAACCACGGCGAGUUAGACGUCGUGUGAGGUAUCAUUCUCUUCGUCUCUUCCAGGGAUACAACUUUCAUUUUUGUCUCGCUUGAUUUCGUUGAGUAGUGACAAAGUUAUGGCCGUUUAAAGUGGGAUGGUUUUCCGGCCUUCUCUCCCAUUGGAUCCGGCGACCCACCAAAACCCAAGGCUUUGGGCCUUCCCUGCCUAGCCCAGCCCGUUUUUAUUCUAUUUAAUUAUUUAUUUUCAGCAGCCCAAAGGGCCUUGGGCCGGUUUUGAGUGAAAGGGCUUAAAGCCCGGUCCUUGUGUGAGGCCUUAAGGCCUUUGUGGUUUGUGUGUGUGUGUGUUUAAGUGCAUGCGUACGUGUGUGUAUAUGCAUGCUUGCAUGCAUGUGCAUGCCGUGAAUGUGUGUGUUUGUGUGGUGCGUGUGUGUGUUUGGCUUAGGCCCAAACCACCCAUUUUCACCCUAAACCCUUUAUAACCCAAAUCCUUUAAAACCCUAAAUCCAUCCAAUUCCAAAUUCCCUAUUUUAUUUAAUUCAAACCCUUCGUAGGGUAAUUCGACGUUUUGAAUCCGUUUCCAAUGUCCAUUUUCCCAAAUUCAAUUGCUAUAAUAGAGUUUUAUUAAUUGGACUCUUUAUGUGAUUAGGGGCAAUUAUAUGUGGCAUUCCUUCUUUGAUAGUUUGCGUGGCUCUUCGGCGGCUAAGUACUGUGAGUGGACCCCUUCUAAAAUGCAUGUUUUAUAGUAGAAAUGCAUAUAUGAAAAGCAUGAUUUGAUGAUUACGUUUUAUGAAACGUUUUGUGAGAUAACAUGCUUACUAAGGCUACUUUGAAUUAUUACUAUUUUUCCUAUAACCCGUGUUCUUAUAGAAUAUCUGAUGGAUGACGAUAUAAUAUUUAGAACAUGUUUCAAACACCUCUUUAUAGUAUAGAUGAUGAAUGACUUUAUACUAUGAAGUUGUUUUUCAAUAUAUAUAUGUUCAAUGGUUUUGUACCUACCUAGUGGUCCUUUCCGCUACGGGACGUAGGGAUAGAUUCUGGUCCGUUCCGGGCGACGGUUUGGUGUUGGCAUAGGGCCUGGAGUAUGUUUCCUCUGGCUAUUUAGCACAGGGACGGGGAGCCGGCAUGGGGCCUGAAGUGUAUUUUCCUCUGACUGUCUGCUCAGAGACGGGGAGCCGGCAUGGGGCCUGGGGGUUAUCGGACAAUUCACUAGUGAUUAUUAUAUAUACAAGUUAUGAUUUGAGACACUGCACAUCAUGCUAGGUUUCGGAAAACCUAUGUUUAUCAUUAUAUAUGUGUUUUCAUAAAACCUGGGGGUUAGUACGUUGAUAACUGUUUAUUAUAUAUAUAUCAACUUGGUCCACUCAUAUUUGUUUUGCGCCCCCUUCAGGACUUAGAAUCGAGGCAUACAAUUCCGGCAUCCAGGCACUUCCGCAUCGGUAUCUUCGAGUCCUCUCGGUGUAGGACCCACUUCUGUGUUCAUUCAAUUUUUUUAUAUUAAUUCUUUUAAUGUUCUAGAUUAGAUGUGUGCUCUGAACACGUUCCUUAAAUACAUAUUCAUUAUUCUUUUAUAGUUAUAAGUCUUAAUUAUUCCUUAUUUUCAGCAAUUGCACUCAAUAAUUGGUUUUCGUCACCCUCGGGUGUCGGCCAGCACGUGCAUAUCCUGGUAUUCGGGGAAUAUCGGGAUCGGGGCGUGUCAGUUGAAGUUAAAUCUGCUGCAACAAUAACUGGCUAUGUUUCUAGAGUCCCUAAAUGUGCAUAUUUUAAAUGUUCUAGCAAAGGCUUCAGCUCCAAUUUUGGUAGCUACUGUCUAGACUGUUUAAGGGGUUGUUUAGGCUCCCAUAAGCUUGCAUAAACAGUUCUCCACCUGGGCAACUGUGUUGGCAGACUGUCCAAUACAUAAAUGUACUCAAGAACCCUUUAUCUUCAGAAUCUGACCCAAUUUUCCCUUGUAAAACAUGCAACAACUGAUCUGAAAUUGAAUUAGCCUGAAAAUUGCCUUGAACCACACUGUCUAACACAUCAAUGCACAUACACUAUUGUUGUUUAGCAUGACGUUUGGAUGCCUCAAAAAAAUUAAAUACAACAGAUUGAUCUUGAACUCCUAAAGUUAGUGUUCCAGCUUCCACAUCAAUUAUUGUCGUAGAUGUUGCCAUGAACGAUCUUCCCAAAAUUAUGGGCGUUUUUUAGGUCUUCAUCCAUGUCUAAAACCACAAAAUCUGCCGGUAAAUAAAGAUUAUCAACUUUAAUAUUGAUAUUUUCAAUAAUGCCCUUAGGAUAAGUCAUUGAACAGUCAACUAGCUAAAGAAUACUUGAUGUAGGCUUUAAAUCUCCUUGUCCUAAUUAUUGGAAAACAGAAAAUGACAUUAAAUUAAUAUUGGCACCUAAAUCAAUUAAAGCAUUUUUAAAAUCAGAAUUUCCAAUAGUACAUGAAAUGUUAAAACUCCCUGAAUAUUUUUUCUUAGGUGGCAGUUUAUGUAACAAAACUACGCUGCAUUGUUCUAUCAAAAUAACAUUGUCCAAAUCUGCAAGUUUCUUUUUGCUGUUGCAAACCUCUUUCAAAAAUUUAGCAUAAGAUGGAAUUUUCUUGAUUACAUCCAGCAAUGAAAUGUUGAUUUGAACCUUAGAUAAUGUCUGCAUAAAAUCCUUAAACUGUUGAUCUCUUGCCUUAUGAAUUAAACAUUCAAGAUACGGUAAUGGAGGGUCAUAAACAUGCUCAGAAACCUGUUUUGGGACAGUUUCAGCAUCUGCCAGAUUCUGUUUUAUUGUAUAAUUUGCAAGUUAUGCUGCUAUUUCUGUAUUUUCUGCAGAAAUUUUCACUGCAAGCUAAUCUUUUUUAGUAUAAUUUUCACGAUUGUCAUAACUUUUUCCACACCGUAAAGUCCGAACAACAUUGCAGUCUUCACGUCCUCUUGGAUUAGGCACUGUUUGACAAGGAAAUUUGCCUUUUUCUCUGUUUGAAAUAUGUGUAGCUAACUGUCCAAAUGAUUGCUCCAAACUUUUAAUUGAUGCUUCCACAUUUUGAAAUUUUUGAUUGCUGCCACCUAUAUAUGAUUGAGUUGUUGCUGCCAAUUUAGCAAGUUGAUCAUCCAAAGAUGGUUUGGAUGGUACAAAAGGUUUUUGUGUUUACUGCAAUGGUUUUGCAUGAUUCUGAUUGUCCCCCAAUUUGAAAUUAGGAUGAUCCCUCCAUCUUGGAUUGUAAUGAGUUGCAUAUGCAUCAUUUCUAGGCCUUUGAUAGCUGUUCAUCAUAUUAACAUGUUGCUCAACAAGCUCCGUGUAGGAUUCUUUAUGCGGGCAUCACAUUAUGUCGUGCGUAGCCAUGCUGCAAAUAAUGUAAACGGUGGUUGCUACUGUGUAGAAUUUGCAAUUUGUUGUAAAAGAAUGUCAAAUUUUGCAUUAAUUUUCUUUUCCAUUUUUUUCAUUUGUGUAGACAUGUUAGGAAAACCUGCUGAUAACUAAAAAAUGCCCCUUUUCUAUGAAUGUUUUGCUGCCCAAUGUUGACAUUAUGUAGCCAUCAUAUCAAAUCAUUCAAACGCCUCUCUUGCAUAUUUAUUUGACAACAAUCCUCCAGUUGAGGCAUUAACAUGGCUCUUAGAUAUAGGAUUAAGCACAUCAAAGAAAAUAUUCAUUUGUGUAUUUGAAUCAAUAUUAGCAUGUGGACAAUUCAUGUACAUCUCUUUAUAUCUCACCCAUGCUUCAUGAAACUCUUCGUUCAGCUUUUGAGAGAAUGUCAUAAUCUCCCGCUUGUAAUUCAAUUUCUUAGAUGCUGGAUAAUACUUGUUUAGUAAUUUUGUAUGUAAUUGUUGCCAAGUGGUAAUGCUACUAGUCGGUAGAGUAAAUAACCAAGUUUUCGUCUUAUCCUUCAAAGUAAAAGGAAAAAGACGUAACUUAAUAACCUUGGCAGAAAAACUCCUGAUCAAAAUAUUUUUGCAACCCACAAUAAAUUUUGCAAUAUGAAUGUUUGCGUCUUCAUUAGGCAACCCACAAAAUGUUGGUAAAAUUUCAAGCUUGUGGUGCUUGAUCUUGAAUGCUUCUCCUUCUUCCUGGGCAAGAUAGACAAUACAAUUAGGAACAUCGUUUACACGGGCAGCCAACGAAUAUUUGAGUGGUUUGCCUCCUUAAGGUAAUGCUAACGCCAUUGUAACCUCUCUGUCCACAAAAUCAGCAAAUAAAUUAUGCAAAAAAGUGUCGUGCAUUGAACAGUCCCAUGCCAAAUUAGUUUCUCUUUGUUGUUGUCGCAGUGUGUGUUCUGGUUCUGGAUAAAACUGAGCAAUCUGGGCAAAUUUUGAUCCGAUCUGGACCAUAAAGUUUGUAGAAUCUACAAUCAAACGAAAAUAGCAAAAUAAUCUGAAUUAAAAUAUUGUUUUUUAUUUUUUUUAUUUGUGCAAAAAAUAAUUAAUUAGGGAAGGUCUAAACAAAAAUUAUCUAAAAUAAUCCCCAGCUACGACAUCAAUUUCUUGAUGGGAUUUUUACCGUCUACGAAAAGAAGGUUAAAAUCACACAAAACACUUGCAAGAAUACAAGAUUAUUGUAGUACAGAUAUUCAUGCAAGGUCGUUCUCCUCAAUGACUAUUUUAAUAAUUUAUGUAAAAACAAUUCCUAAUUAACUACUUAUAAUUAAAAAUUGAGAAAAAAGAUUUUGACUUUGGGUAAUAUUAAAAACGAAUUUUAAUUAACUACUAAUAAUAAAUUUCCCCAAAACUAAUACGAUAAAAGAAAAGAGUUUUAAAUACCAAUUUAUAAAAGCACUAGGGUCCACCAUCACCUAACAAACCUAUGAAUUUUUAUCAAUUACUUAUGAUCUACACAUGCUACUUUGAAGGUUAGGUUUUCCUAAUAUAUAUUUUACUUUGAACCUCCAACAUAGAACGUAUAUCUAACAUGCAAUCCGUCCAGAUGUUCGGAUCAAAUAUGAAUACGAGAGACUCAUUAUGCUUUAUGAAAACCCUUUGAAAAAUCAUACAACCCUUAAGACGUGAUGUUCAUCUUAAGUGAUAUUACAAUUAUUAAUCACAAGAAGCCAACGUCAAUUUCAGGAAACCUUCCGACCAAAAUUGAAUUAAAUUACUUUUCUAAAGAUCUUAAUGCUGAUCAGGUAUUAAGAGAAUUAGAUAGUUUAAAACAGUGAUCAAUAAUUCAAAGUAUCCAUGCAAUCAAUCAUAAGCAAUUAAAUAAAAAUUACAUAUUCAUGCUAAGGCUCAAGGCUUCGCCCUAGCAAAAUAAAUUAGUUAUGCAUAUUCAUAAUUAAAAUCAUAGAAAAUAUUAUUAUGAAGAAAAAGAACGAAAACACCUUAAAGUAGAAAAGCUAAAAACCUUUGAAAACCCUAGCAAUUCUUCCAAAGUUGCAUAAAAGAAAACGUAAAACAAAAUAGGAUCGGUUGAAACCUUUUAAAUCCCAUCUAAAAAGCAUUGCACAAUCCUAAAAAACCAGGUCCUUUAUUCCAACUAGGAAACUAAAAAUAAUAGUAAAAUAUCUUAAAAAAUAAAGUUUUAAUUAAGUUAGGGGAAUCUGCUAAGUACUUGUCUAGCCACGUUUUAGCCUCAAAUAUCCUCCAAAUCCGGCCCAUGAUAGCUUGUUUUGAAGAUUAGGACGUUCUAAACAAUCUCUAGAAGGCCACAAACCCAUCCGAGGUCAUCUUGGACUCACAAAAACGCAAUUCAAGCUCAAAACGUCACUAUUUCAACACCGCGCAUUGCUCAUUUAUUUUAUUGCCAGAAAAUAACCUCUUGGUGGAAAAUUUUGAUAUUUUGACACGAUCGAGCCAAGUAACUCAUGAACGUCCUCCAACUGAAAUUACUUCAAAAUUCGUCCAUUUGACCAUGUUUUACUCUAUAGGAAGUCAAAAAUCUUAUAUUCAAAAUACAAUUUAAAGUAUCAAAAUUCUUUCAAAAUAAUAACUAAAAUAUACUAAGAUUAAGGUUAAAUAUAUAAUAUAAAAUCUACUCAUCACCUACAACAGUGGCACACUUGUUCUCACCACUUGAGCCUCUCCUUGGCACUGAGACCAGGCUCGAUCAACUAGGACCGAACCUUACUUGAUGGCUCAUCGCCAUUUUUUAAAAAGCAUCAUAAUAUCUCAGCGAUCGUCGUCUCAAUCUUCCGACGAUUAGCGAUGGAUUUCAGUUAUCGAGGGACGAGUUUGAACUCGUCAGAUUUGAGGAUACCAGUAUUUUUACAUACUAAUCUCUCGAAAAUCCGUUGUAAAUCAUGAUGUUGUGGUAGUUAAAAUGAAUAAUAUUUCGAAGUGUUAAAAAAACUGAAUUUACAAUGUCUUUUAACAUCACACAGAUAAAACUUUGAACAUAACGACACUUACAACUCCGGAGCGUACGAGAAAAGCCAAAAAUAACAAGAUGAAAAUUGAUCAUUUUAGCAAUCGGAAACUGUAAAUUGACCGAUAACAGGGGGGCGGGAUGAAGCAUCAUUUCGGGGACAAAAAAGUUCAAAGAGGGUUGUUUUCAUAUAUACCGGAGACGAACAUGUAUCGGAGCAUAAAAAAUAGUCUACAUAUAAGUCAAUUGAUAUCUUAAAGACGUUAAGAAUCCCAGCACAUGUCCAGUGUAGAGUUGGAGUGAAGGCAACGUUGGAACAAAGCUUAAGAACAUAAAAAGUAUUAGCAUUUAUAGACACACACAUUAUUUAGACACACAACUACGCCUUAGUCUUCGGUAUCAAGAUUCAAGACAUACAAGAUGUACUGAAAGCAAGCAAAGCAGCAUACACACUCGGGUUAGUACCGGAAGAUUUCAAUACCACAAACUAUUUACUUGUUUAGGAGUGGUCUGCCUCCAUAUGAUUCAGACUGAAGGCGCCUUCCAUAUUCUUAUGCACUUCAGCUUUAAACUUCUCUUCUUUGCUUCCCCUUUUCACCUUCAGAAGCAUGUUAAACUUUGCAUGCUCUUCUAUCACCUGCUGCCCACAGUUUAAUCAUAUACACAAAUCAAUACAUUAAUCCCGUCGAUCCCAACGAUGAUGUCAAACAGACCUCAAAACAGAGAAGAAUGAACAAAUCGACUUGUAUACCGCAUUAUACAAAACAAUUUGAAGUUGAAAGCAAAAUUGACAAGAAAACAAUGUGUUUAUUUUGUUUUAAUCUUCUGAAUUACCUAAAGGUUAAAUCCAAAUUUCCUAUUCCAAUUCUCUAAAAUACAUUUAAAUAGAAUUUCCUUACUCAAUUCUCCACAACCAAAUCCUGGUCCCAUUACACAACUACUCGCAUUUGAAAGAGAUUUUUUAAAGUGUGCCUGAAACACGAGCACAUAGGCCAAGCGGAGGGACACUUGAAAAAAAUAUCCAUCCACUUGUAUAAUAACAUCUGGCAUGCCGUCCCAUUUUCCGAGCACACUGAAAAACCUCUCCACAUUUAAAUGAACUUGAACACCCAUUCCAACAAAACCAAAUACUACCCCCCCCCCCCCCCCAAAUCCUCAAUUCUCCAAAAUGCAAAAAAAUCGACUUUCAUACUCUGAUUCAGCACAAACCAACCCCCUAAUACCCAAUUCUUCGAAAUCCCUUUCAGACACAACAAAUAACUAUACACAAUACCCAAUUCUCAAAUUCAUUUAGUUGGAUUUGAAUACCCAAUUCAACACAAACAAAUACUAACCCCCAAUACUACAGAGUGGAAAAUCAAAAGAAGGAAAUGAAAAGGCACAAACCUCAGCCUUGGCGUGAACAACUUCUAGAAGCUCAUAAGGCAACAAGGAAUUAGACUUCUGCUGGAGGGACUUAACAGCGUGGUUAGCCGCAUCCUGCACCUGCGGGUCAUGCGGCGGCACAGAUUGCCACCCAGGAGGAUGCCCACCUUGCUUGGCACCAAGAUCGGAAGAGGUAACGGAUGGUGUCUCCUCCUCAUCAGCCUGCUUGAACUCCUGCUCUUCUUUGAAGCCCAUCCAAGGCUUCACCCACACCUUCGCUUCGUACAGCUUCUUCUUGCCGGCCUCGAUCGCCUCGAUCGUCAGAUGGUGCAGAGUUCCGGCAACCACCUGCUCUUUCGCCUUCACAACCCUCACAAAUUCGAGCAGGGCAUUCUGAACCAUAAUAAUUUAAUUAAUCAAUCAAUAAAUUAAUCGAAAUUGUAGCAUAAUUAGGUAAAGGAAAAGGUCAGGAGGGUAAACUAUGUACCUCCUUGUUAUUGUGCUCUUGGACGGCGAAGCGAGCGAGGUCUUCAACUUCGGCGCUGUUCUGGACGCCGCGGGAUUCUUGGAUUCCGCCGACUGUGUCCAUUUUCCGGUGUUGGGAACUGUGGCCGCAGCCAAUUCGGGUUGAUUUUUGUGCGGUAGUGGAAGGGAAAGCGAGGAGGAGGAGGAGGAGGAAGAAGGGAGCAAUUAAUAGAGAGAGGUAAGAUUCCGAUUUCAUCUGGCCUUUUUGGGUUUGGGGAUUUUUUCGACGGUUUCUCUGCAAAUUCGGAUAUUUUUCUUUCGGUCAUCAGGUUUUUAUGAUACGUGUCAAACACGUGUCGAUUCUGCACCAUCUUUGCUUACUAUGUAAGCUUUCGAAAUGGGAUUGAGAUCCUCUUCUUGGCUAAGGAUGAUGAUUUUCCUGACCUAACUCAUAUGAUUGUUUAAAUUUUAUCAACGAUUACAAACAUAAAGUUUUUCUAAAAGUUAUAAUAACUGUAACAGUUGAAUAAAAUUUGAACGAUCCGAUGAGCUUGAUCAAGAGGACCAUCACCCUUACCUUAGUAGUGGAUCCUAAUCUCUCUCUAUAUACUUUUGUGAGAGGACGGAGGAUCCUCUUUUUUUUUUUCUUUUUUUUUUUGACAAAGGAGAACGAUAUUAAUCCAACCAAACACAACUACAACAUAACAACAAAGGCCCACGGAGGAUCCUCUUUUUUGUGAGGAUCCUAAAGAUCAAUUCAUAUUACAUAUUCAUUAUAUCAUGCGAUUAGCUUUCGU
Molecule: long non-coding RNA, 69103 nt
Filed under: Malus domestica (apple)
Lineage: Eukaryota; Viridiplantae; Streptophyta; Magnoliopsida; Rosales; Rosaceae
Description: long non-coding RNA (MDOM_LNC006475)
Source: RNAcentral